RNAcentral lists this long non-coding RNA (59557 nucleotides) under Triticum aestivum (bread wheat). RNAcentral's name for it is "long non-coding RNA (TAES_LNC006571)". The record is from RNAcentral. Lineage: Eukaryota; Viridiplantae; Streptophyta; Magnoliopsida; Poales; Poaceae.
UGCAAGCAACCCACAAGCUAGUUUUAUUGAAUAUUAAAAUAACAUAGUUGAUUUCUAAAACAUACAAAAUUUAUUAUCUCAUCAACACAUAAUUAUUUUGAUAACCAUAAGGUUGAGAUUUAUCCACCCAAAAUAGGGGAGAUAACAAAACUAUUGUGUUGUUGUUGCUGGUGUGCAAUUAAUCUUGCAGGGACAGUUGAUGAAGCAUUCUCCAAGGUCUGGCCAGCACAAGUUAUCUAUUUGACAACAGAAUUCCCGUCCUGGGAGCUGGUGCCCAUCUUUAUAACAAGGGGGUCUGGUUACAUGGCUUACUUUGCUCAUCAUGUUUCUCCCCUUGUUGUUUAUGAUUUCACCUAAUUAACAUAAAAUAAAGAAUAUACUUAUCAUUUCAUCAUAUAAACAAUAAAAGUCCACAAUAUCAAUCCCCCCAAAAAAUUGAGUUGUUAAUUACCAUAUGUGCCUCCAAGACAAGUUAAACACACCACAAGAAGAAAAGAAAGUAGCACAAGUCCUUGCACAUUGUUCCUCGUGAACUUUGUCAUCGUCACUAAGGAAAAGAGGCUAUUAAUAGGUGGUACUCUUGUAAGUGGAGUUGAUAAGUGUAUGACCGUGAAAUGCUUGCUCCAUGAAUGGUUCAUAUAUAUAUAGGAAAAGCUUCUCCGCGUUGAUGUGUGAAGUUAUAGAAAAUAUUAAUGCUACGAGUUAUGGCUUGUCUGAAUUUCCAAUUUUAGUUUAACUUCUAAAGAUUCAUGGUUCCUUCUAAAGUUUUUUUCCUCAAAUUGAUGCUUUGUCAUAGCAUGUAAGUUACUUUAAUGCCCCCUCUAGAAUUGACCGCUUAUUGUUUCCAAAGGGUAGAAUUGACCUCUUAGAAUGGGUAGCAAAAAACGGGUGCAUGGCAAUAUUGUGUUUAAGGCAUUGAUAAUAAUUGGUAUAAUAUUAAUAAUUCCUAUAUAUAUGAUGCCUUAUCAGUAAAUUAUUAAUUUCUCUCUUGGUAUAAGAGAACAAAAUUUAAAAUUCAACAAGACUCGUCCACUUAACAUUGGACUUGUUUUUUAAUGUAUAUAAGCAAUUGUUCUUAAGUAUAUCAGCAAGUUACGGAUACAUUUUUUUACUUUUAUUCCAUGAACAUAGAUUAAUUAUGGGAUGGCCAUUUUAUAAAUAUAAGAUGAUGAUUUAUUUUCAUAUACAUGAACAUUUUAUAUCAAGGUAGUUGAGCAUUUUUUACAUUUUUCUAUACACAAAAUUUUCUCCAAUAUUAAGUUGAUUUUGAUUUCUUUAAAUAGAUUAGUUUCCCCAAAACGUUCUUUAUUAGAAUAGUGAAAAUGUUGCACUUGCCCGACUAUGGCAAAUUUCGUUAAUUCUCGGGACUCCCUAUAUGUUCCUCCUUGCGGCUAACAACCUCCCCUUCGGAUAGUGCGCGCCUGGCUGGGCCGGCCCAUUGACGACACGAAUGGACACCACUGAGUGGGAGAGUAGGCGCUGAGCCAAUCCACUUCAGCGACAAUUUUUUAAAUUUUGGAAAAUUUCUUUGCAAAAUGAACAAGCAUUGAUAAAUGCGAAGUUUUUUUGAACAUAUUCUAAAAUUUGAAAUUUCUUAAAACCCCAAUUAUAUUUGGAAUUUCGUUCAUUUUUCUGAAAAUAUGAACGAUUUAGGAAAUACUGAAGAUUAUUUGAAAACUACGUCCUUUCCUUGGAAAACCAAAAAUUUAUUUAUAACAAAAUAUGAGAAUCGGAACAUUUCCUGAAAACUUGAAUAUUUUUUAAAUUUCAAAUUUACGCACAUUUUAAAAAAGGAGACUUUUUGAUAGAGAAAAUAAGAAAAAUAAAACAUGGAAAAACCAAAUAUGUAAAACUAAAAAAUAACCCAAAGAAAACGGUAACAGAAACAGAAGGAAAAAAAGAACAAAUGAAAAUACUAGUAAAAAUCAUAUCAGAACCUUUUAGAACGCUCCCAAAAUUGGUAAAAGCCCAGAAGGAAUAUUCCGGAAGUUCAUAAAACUAGAGAGGCGCGGCUAACAUGGGUCGGCCGUCCCAAGCUCUAGCAUCGAUUCUGUGUGCAAUCCCCGGCAAUUUGAUGUUUACUGCUCAAAUAGGGUUUUCGCCAAUUCUCUUGUUUCUUGUUGCCUCAUAUGAGUUUGUUGUUGUUUGGGACAUACCUUGGCGCCAUUUGUACGGGUUCGAUGACCGCCAUCAAGGGUCUCUUAGUGGAAUCACAAUAUCUUGCAUCGUGUGAGGGCGUGAGGAGAUUAUAGUGGCCCUAGUGGCAUUUUGGGGAGCAUUGUGCCUCCACAGUGCUCCAGACGGAGAUUAGCAUCUGCAAUGUCGUCUCCGCGUGCCUCAGUUAUUUCUUACCCGAGCCCUUUACUUUGUGAUAGCCAUAGUGUUUCAUGUUAUAUAUCUUGCUAUCACAUAGUUGUUUGUCGUGCUUAGCAUAAGUUGUUGGUGCACAUAGGUGAGCCUAGUGGUUUUAGCUUUUAUGCUUGACAAAUUAGACACUAGUUUUAUUCUACAUUUGUUCAAGCCUAAAUAGUAAUUAUUUUAAAGCAUCUAUUCACCCUCCCUCUAGGCAACAUCCACGAUUUUUCAAGUGGUAUCAGAGUGUCGCCUCUCUUUAUUAGGCUUAACCACUUAGAGAGUAAAGAUGUCGACUAGGGGAUUAGGAUUCUUUGACACUCUUUGUUUCAAUGGCACAAUUUUUGAUGUUGUUGUAAUUCGUAUGGUUAAUCUCUUUAGGGUCAUGGACCCAAAUUUAGAGCGAAUUUUAGAUAUUAGUUUUCAUCCUUCAAAGGAUCCUCAAAGAUUAUCUCUAGAGGAUGAGAAAAAACUCUUAUCUCACUGCUCAAGCUUCUAAUGUGCUUUUUGAUGCUUUGAACAAUGUAGUUAUAUUUGAACUUAUGCUAUUCUGGGAUGCUCAUGAUUUGUGGACAAAGCUUCAAGAUAAAUAUGGUGUGUCCAGGAUUUCUAGGAAUGAUUAUUCUCCCUCCAUCUCCAGUCUUAUGGUGUUCUCAACUUCUUCCACUUCACCUACAUGUGGAUUGCCACAAGGUAGUGAUAUGGUGAGUAGUGUUGGUCAUUGCAAUGAUUAUAGUGGGCUUAUUGUUGAUGAUCCUUCAUCGCUAUCUUAUUGAAUGCUCCGUCUUUGCACUUCAACACUUCGAGAUCUCUAGAUGGUUCACACGCUCGUGUUGAUAGUCCUUGCAUAUCACGUAGAAUUUGCUCAACUAAAUCUCAUGAUGAUAUGCUUGCUAUGUCUUGCUGCCAUGAUAAAAGUGCCUCUAUUUCCUCGAGUUGUUGUGCAAACAGUGUAAAGGAAACCCUACACUCCAUGGAACAAGAUGUGGUCCUGAAUGGUGCUUCAAGGGAUCCAACAUCAUCAUCUAUUGUUUCUCACUUUUGCCUUAUGGCUACGGUUUCAAAGGUAUCUCCCAGUUUGAAUCCCAAUAUAUAUUGUGAUGAUGAUGUUCAUGAUAAUCAGGGGAGGGGCCCCACCCAGUUGAAAUAAGGGGAGGGACCCUACCCAGUUGAAAUCAGGGGGUGGAGUGAUCAGUUAGGAAAGUUAAGUAAGAUUACGUAGGAUUUCUACGUAAUGCUACACCUACGUAGCUAUCAUACAAGAAUUUCUCCUCCCUCUCGUCCCAUUGCCCCUUCCAUGGCACUCUGCUCGAUAAGAAUAUUCUCCACUCCAGCAACACAUGUAUCUUCAGUAGUCCUAGUGCAAUUUUGCCUUCCCCAACUUUUCUACAUCAAAAUCCACAUCUGCACGAGAUGUACCAACAAUCAGUCGGGUUACGAAAGCUAUAUUUUCCACACAAGGGAAGGGCUAGAAAUCAAUACUGCAAAUUUGUCAUCUUAGGACUGGCAUUUACAUUUAUAAUUUAACAAGAACAGAUCACAUCAUAGUUCAAAUAAGAUAAGUAUGAAUGGACAUAAGUUUCCCAGUUAUAGGAUCAAACUAUAGGGGUGCUGCAAAAGCAACAACUUUGAACCAAGCUUCAUUGCCUCAGUAUACGAGUAGAAACCUGGGAGCCCUCCCUUGUUACCCUUCAUGGUGACAAACUAACAAUCUCGCAUGCAAGUUUCUUCCGGAGGUGCUCCAGCUGAGCCUGGGCGAGAAAAAAAAUACAGCUUUCAGUCCACCUCACAGUUUGUUCACUGUGGACACGCCCUGAACUACCAUGCUUUUACCUCACUAUGUUCAAACCCGAGGAUGUUGUGCAUGAUGUACACAUCGCUAUCCUCCUUAAGAUCACGGGAUCAGUAUUCGUCUUUGUUAGUGUGAAGUAUAACAAAAAAAAUUAUCCUUGUUCAAAGUCAGAUGUACUAACCUCGUGCACAGUUUGUUCCGCGCCACUAAAGGGUACACAAAAGUCCAUCCAGUCGUGUCAACCAACCCGGCACCAAAAAUGUCAUUGAACACUCACCCCUUCGACCAUUCGAACCUCUGCGAGCCAAUGCUGGCCUCGAGCUGCCGAGGUUUCUGCUGUUGCAGUACAUCUCAUUGGUAGGAUCCCAGCAGAUUUUGUGGCUGAAGCACACCCAUGGGUAGGACAAGCAUUAGUCAAGAGCAAACUUUAAAUCUUUUAGAACACCAACUACAAAUGUGAAACUAUUUGCUUGCCGUGCACCCACAUUCUAGUUCUAACUUUGCCAGUUCCGCAACAGCAAACAUUUCGUCCAAUCUUAUCUGUUCUUCUUUGUCAACCUCGCCAACAACAUCUUGGUUUGUUUGACUCCUGGCAUUCGCACUAUUCGCCCCAACUCCACUUCCGGCAACAUCUCUCAUUCUCAGCUUCAGCUGAAGCCUGCUCAAGCUCCACAGCCAUGGCCCCCUGCAUGCACAAUUGACUCCAAAUAAACAUUCUUGGACUACCAACCUGACCCAAGGCCACCUCGCAAUUCCGAUGAAAUACGUAGGUUGCUCUACCCAGCUGGUGCUCCAAUGGGUUACCUUACAUUGCAAAACAAUAUUGGUAUUUAUAUUUUUGUGGUCCAGCAUUGCUGCAUUUGUCGACAAAUAGUGCACUCGUCGAACAGCAAUCAAGCUUUUUUUAGAAGGAGGAUGUACCCCCGGCCUCUCCAUUCGGAUGAUGCAUUCAACCAUAUUAUUAAUUAUCCACAAAGAUCAUACAAGGUGAUACAUCAAUAAGCCUGAAGCCAUCAUCUUGGCAAUGUUGUUGCUACUUCUAUCCCCUUGAUGAAGGUGUGUCGGAUGUCCGAGCCUAAUACCAUGCAGACAUCGCACCAAAACCUAACAUAUAAAGCCGGGUGUCCCAUCCAAGCCACUACCUGGAAUGGGUCCCACAUCGGUCUGGCAGACUCCCAGUGAGCACCGCACGCUGCAAGGGUCGUCGCCUCCAUCUUCCAUCAGUCCAUCCUCAAAGCAGAACUGAUGCACUGACCGUGACAGGCCUCUCUGCCAUCAAUGCCACCAUGACGCUGGACAGCUUCCUCCUCCUGCGCGAGUCCAUCUCUGUGCAUCAGACGCCAAGUGUCCAUUGCGCCAUGCCGCCGAGACCCACCGUCAAUGAUACGGUUGAUGCCACACCGCUCCACCUACAUGCCAUCUCGCAUCGACUCCGAACUACCAGCAGCUCCACCACCUUGAGCAGUCCCUGUCCGACGCCUUCAGAAAGGAACACGACACCAAAGUACCAUUGUCGCCCAAACAGAGGAACAGAGACUUUUGCAUGCGCUCAUGGCAGAGGUGGGGGGCGUAUGAUCCACACCAAAGCCUCCAGGAAGGGAAUCGGCGCCGACGGCGUAGACUUUGGUGCGGCCGCCACGCCGGCCUGAAGUUUCCCCUCGAUUCAUGCCCACCCGCCAGACCCUAUCCAGGCAGUAUAAGUGUCGACCGUAUUCGCUACCGUUGCCAGCACGAACUGGAGAGUAGAUCUACUGUAGGUAGGGUAUAAUGUUUGGUACACGUGCAAUGUUCAGAUUCAUUUUUCAUUCGUCAACUCCCAUUCCCAGCCUGAAUUACUAGGGCCCCUUCAGGGAGAGAUACGGGGGAGUUACCCCCGUCAAUUCAUAUUACCUUCCCUCCACAACUCCUAUGUCCCCGAACCAUACAGGGGAUUUUUAGUGUCAUAGCCUCUUAAUUCCCAUUCCCCAGCUUUUCUUCCCCCCAACCAAACAGGCUGUAAGAGUGAUUCUUGCAUCGCGCUCCAGCAUCACAACUCCUUGCCGAACUGAAUCUACUAAGUUCCAUACAAAUUUAGCUUGAUUUAUGUACAUAUGUACAAUGUGACGACAGUAGUGGAGUUGCUUUUUCGCUAAAUUCAACACACAAUGGACAGGAUACUGUAUGCCACCUAGUUUAGAGAUAGCUAUUAAAGUUUUAUCAUUUGAGCAUCCUUAUUCAAAUUAAUAUGUGCUAACGAUACUAUUGAGGCUUCUAAGAUUUAAGUACCCAAACUCGACUUCUGUAGAUAAACAUAGAAGUACAAUCUUUGCAUAGGUAUACACUAUCUUCCAAUAUAUGAUUUCAUUCCAUUGUGUAAUUUGGUCGAAAAAUUACGGCGUGCUUUUGGUGACUAGACUAGAGUAGAAUUGGCAUAAGAGCUAAUGCAAGGAAGAAAAUCAUGCCCCAGACAUUUGCAUAGCCCGACUCAAACUUGCCAAAUGUAGCAAGUUUUUUUAUGCAAAUUCCAAAUGAUAUUUAAUUUAUCAAAAAUAAUGAAAUUUAGUUCAACGUUUCAGGCCUGAAGCAAACCUGAAUCAUCUAUACUUCUUAUCCUCCUAAUCUUUGCAGAACCAGCAAAAGUGGGCAAUAAGAACCGAACAAAUGAAGGCCUCUAUUUUGUCUGCAGCACAUAAACCCUUUAUCACUACUAGGACAAGGCCUACUAAUGGCGCACCAGUUUUGCCUACUAAUGGCGCACUACUGGUGCGUCAUUAGUAUCACGCCACUAAUAUUUUUUACUGAUGGCGCAUCAAUAGUGCGCCAUUAGUAUCUGGUAUACUAAUGGUGCACCACUGGUGCGCCAUUAGUAUAGGCCACGGUGCGCCAUUAAUAUUUUUGAAUUUUGAAGGUGGGAAAAUAGAAGUGGCGCACCGUCUAACCCCCAUGGUGCGCCAUUGCUAAUUUUGAAUUUUGAAUUUGGAUCUGGAUCGCGAUUUCUUUGCCCAUUUUUUGCUCUUUUUUUUUGCACGAUAUUAUUUCAAAUUUUGUUCCUGUUUUUGGAUCUUGUACGUUCUUUUGCCGUGUUCUUUUGCCGGAGAGGAGUUCGCCGGAGAGGAGUUUGCCGGAGAGGAGGAGGAGGUCACCGGAGAGGAGUUCACUGGAGCAUCGGAGAGGAGGAAGGAGAAACCAUGAUGGGAUGGGAGGAGAGGAGGGAGAAGGAGCUCACCGGAGAGGAGGGAGGAGGAGCUCACCGGAGAGGAGGGGGGAGGAGCUCACCGGAGAUGAGGGAGGAGGAGCUCACCGGAGAGGAGGGAGNNNNNNNNNNNNNNNNNNNNNNNNNNNNNNNNNNNNNNNNNNNNNNNNNNNNNNNNNNNNNNNNNNNNNNNNNNNNNNNNNNNNNNNNNNNNNNNNNNNNNNNNNNNNNNNNNNNNNNNNNNNNNNNNNNNNNNNNNNNNNNNNNNNNNNNNNNNNNNNNNNNNNNNNNNNNNNNNNNNNNNNNNNNNNNNNNNNNNNNNNNNNNNNNNNNNNNNNNNNNNNNNNNNNNNNNNNNNNNNNNNNNNNNNNNNNNNNNNNNNNNNNNNNNNNNNNNNNNNNNNNNNNNNNNNNNNNNNNNNNNNNNNNNNNNNNNNNNNNNNNNNNNNNNNNNNNNGUGAGGGGAGGGGAAGGGAGGAGAGGAGAGGAGAGGAGGGAGGAGGAGGUCGCCGGAGAGGAGGAGGAGGUCGCCGGAGAGGAGGAGGAGGAGGUCACUGGAGAGGAGGAGGGUAGUAUGGUGGAGGAGAAAAGGGAAGAUGGAGUGGAGGAGUGGAGGAGAGGUGGAGUGGAGGAGAAGAAUGAAGAGGUAAGGAGGAGAGGACAUGCCCAGCCAUAUAUACGGCAUAGUAAUGACGCAUCGUGGGCAGGUGCGCCAUUACUUUUUUUAAUUUUUUUAAUUUUAAAGGCGGGAAGAUAGUAAUGGCGCACCAUGGGCAGAUGCGCCAUUAGUAACUUUUUUUUAUUUUAAAUUUUGAAGGCGGGAAGAUAGUAAUGGCGCACCAUGGGCAGGUGCGCCAUUAGUAACUUUUUUUUAUUUUUUGAUUUAUUUUGAAUUUUGAAGGCGGGAAGAUAGUAAUGGCGCACCAUGGGCAAGUGCGCCAUUAGUAAGUUUGAUUUUUUUUGAAAUUUUUUGCCUCUCCAGAUCUUAAAAGCCCCGUAUCUUUUUUUCUGUUAGGUUUUUGAGGAUUUUAAAAAUGUUUAACGGGGUUCCCCUGUUAAAUUCGGAUGUAACUUUUCGAGUAGAUGAUUUUUCAUAUAAAAAAAAUUCAUCCGAGUUCGUAUGCAAAAGUUAUGCCCAUUUUUACAAAUUCUUGAAAGAUUUUGCAAAAAAGUCGAAAAUUCAUGUUUGUAAAUUUUGCUAACAACUAGAUCACAUAUCACAUGGGAAUCUUAUUUUCUUUUAUUUUUUUGACAUUUCUAUCAUUUUCUUUUUUUUUUAAACUGAAAAGGCGGUCCAGGGGGGUUGCAUUCGGGGGAAUGUUUGGGACAAAUUACUAAUGGCGCACCGUGGGAAGGUGCGCCAUUACUAGUUUCAACUAGUAAUGCCGCACCACUCUCACAGUGCGCCAUUAGUAGUUUCGGAAAAAUUAAAAAAAAAUUACUAAUGGCGCACCGUGGGAUGUGGUGCGCCAUUAGUAUUUGCACACUAAUGGCGCACCAACACAUGGUGCGCCAUUAGUAUUUAGUAAUGGCGUACCACAUGUACAGUGCGCCAUUAGUGUCCAUCCCAUCUAUAGCUCUUUUCCUAGUUGUGUAUGUUCAAUGUACAAAAAACAAAAUUGCAUCAAGUAAAUGUAACAGAAGAGGAAAAUAAGAGAUAUAUGUAGAAACAGAAAUCGAACAUAUCCGGGCAAACACAACAUCUCGCCGCGCAGAUAAAUUCUAGACGUACUUCCGAGGUGAAGAAAGAAGGUGGAUUUAGAAGCAGGAGAGCAAAGACCCGGGGAUGGGGGCGAGAAACAGAGUUCUAAUGCCUUUGGGUCUACAUCCCCUCUGGAUAUGUGUCUUGGAGUGUCUGAUCUCAUGGCCGUGGGGCUCAUGGUGGCCAGAGACGCCCUGCAGCCUACUAUGGUGCAAUAACUAACUCAAAUGCCAUUGACAGCAUGGAGCUAUGCCAGGAGUGUGGCGGCCCUCUUGGACAUCAGCGCACGCGUAGGAUGCUGGUACAUAGCGGUGGGCGCCGCCAUCGAGAUCAAGGUCGGGGGAGACGGGAGGGGUGCCCCUAGGCGUGCUAAAUAAAGGAGCCUGGGAGCUUGCCGGGCGCCUCCAUUGGUGUUAGGCUGCUGUUAAUGCAUGGGUGCUUAGAUGAGGUGCUAAGCACAUUAAAUAGUUUAACAACUAUACUCCCCAAUGCAUAGGUGCUUAGCUUAUGGUUGCUAAGCUUGCUUCAUUUAAUGAUUUAGCAACUAAAGCUCUUCAUGUAUUGGUGGGCUUUUUUUCUUUAAAUGUUUUGCCUAGGUUCACGAGCUUAGCAUUGUCUCUUCCUGGGUCACCACACUCAUCUCCCUCCUCUUAAAUAACUUGCCACAUCAGAUUUUUUGCCUAUGUGAAAAGCUUAGCACCUGUACAAGGUGGAGCAUUGGGAGGGGCCUUAAUGCACUUUUAGCAAUGGUAACAUUACUCCUCGCUUGAAUACCGGUGGACGAUCUCCAAUCACCCAUUGUUGGGGAACGUAGCAGAAAUUCAAAAUUUUCCUACGUGUCACCAAGAUCUAUCUAUGGAGAAACUAGCAACGAGGGGAAGGAGAGUGCAUCUACAUACCCUUGUAGAUCGCUAAGCGGAAGCGUUCAAGAGAACGGGGUUGAAGGAGUCGUACUCGUCGUGAUCCAAAUCAUCGGAGAUCCUAGUGCCGAACGGAUGGCACCUCCGCGUUCAACACACGUACAGCCCGGUGACGUCUCCCAUGCCUUGAUCCAGCAAGGAGAGAGGGAAAGGUUGAGGAAGACUCCAUCCAGCAGCAGCACAACGGCGUGGUGGUGAUGGAGGAGCGUGGCAAUCCUGCACGGCUUCGCCAAGCACCACGGGAGAGGAGGAGUACUUGGGAGAGGGGGAGGGCUGCGCCAGAACUUGGGUGUGGCUGCCCUCCCACCCCCACAUAUAUAUAGGGGCAAGGGAGAGGGGGGCCGGCCCCCUCAGAUCCAAUCUUAGGAGGGGGCGGCGGCUAGGGGGGUUGCCUUGCCCCCCAAGGCAAGGGGGGCGCCCCCUUUUAGGGUUUCCCCCAAGCCCUAGGCGCCUUGGGCCUUGGUGGACGGCGCACCAGCCCACCUGGGGCUGGUCCCCUCCCACACUUGGCCCAUGCAGCCCUCUGGGGCCGGUGGCCCCACUUGGUGGACCCCCGGGACCCUCCCGGUGGUCCCGGUACAUUAUCGAUAGCACCCGGAACUUUUCCGGUGACCAAAACAGGACUUCCCAUAUAUAAAUCUUUACCUCCGGACCAUUACGGAACUCCUCGUGACGUCCGGGAUCUCAUCCGGGACUCCGAACUACAUUCGGUAACCACAUACAAACUUCCUUUAUAACCCUAGCGUCAUCGAACCUUAAGUGUGUAGACCCUACGGGUUCGGGAACCAUGCAGACAUGACCGAGACCUUCUCCGGUCAAUAACCAGCAGCGGGAUCUGGAUACCCAUGUUGGCUCCCACAUGUUCCACGAUGAUCUCAUCGGAUGAACCACGAUGUCAAGGACUCAAUCGAUCCCGUAUACAAUCCCUUUGUCUAGCGGUAUAGUACUUGCCCGAGAUUCGAUCGUCGGUAUACCGAUACCUUGUUCAAUCUCGUUACCGGCAAGUCUCUUUACUCGUUCCAUAACACAUCAUCCCGCGAUCAAAUCUUUGAUCACGUUGUGCACAUUAUGAUGAUGUCUUACCGAGUGGGCCCAGAGAUACCUCUCCGUCACACGGAGUGACAAAUCCCAGUCUCGAUUCGUGCCAACCCAACAGACACUUUCGGAGAUACCUGUAGUGCACCUUUAUAGUCACCCAGUUACGUUGUGACGUUUGUUACACCCAAAGAAUUCCUACGGUAUCCGGGAGUUGCACAAUCCCAUGAUCUAAGGAAAAGAUACUUGACAUUAGAAAAGCUUUAGCAUACGAACUACACGAUCUCUGUGCUAGGCUUAGGAUUGGGUCUUGUCCAUCACAUCAUUCUCCUUAUGAUGUGAUCCCGUCAUCAAUGAUAUCCAAUGUCAAUGGUCAGGAAACCGUAACCAUUUAUUGAUCAACGAGCUAGUCAACUAGAGGCUUACUAGGGACAUGGUGUUGUCUAUGUAUCCACACAUGUAUCUGAGUUUCUUAUCAAUACAAUUAUAGCAUGGAUAAUAAACGAUUAUCAUGAACAAGAAAAUAUAAUAAUAACUAAUUUAUUAUUGCCUCUAGGGCAUAUUUCCAACACCCACUAUGCCGCAUCGCUGCCCAUUAAUGUGUCGCUAUCUCAUCACAUUUCCCGCACGCUGCCCUUCCGAAAGCAUACACUCUUUCUUGCGAUAUUCGUUGUGCUAACUGAGCCGAUAUUAAACAACAGAUGAUGGCAAGCGAAUAUGUUACGACGAGCUUAAAUGGGCUUCUUGUGGGAGAAGGGUAUGAUUAACCAUAAACCACCGAUUUUGUUACAGGAGUAGCAGCCAAUGAGGCAUACAGUCCACUUAGUGCUAUUUAAAAGUAUCUUACGGCCAAAAAACGACCAUCACAAAAUGAUCCAAUGGUUAGGAAUGGUGGUGGCCUGAGAGGGCAGGAAAGAUGCUCAGGUAUAAUGUGUCUACAUGUGCUUCCCACGGUAUUGAGCACGAACAUUUGUUGUGCUUGGACCAGCGUCCCUUAAGGUGCACACUAUCCGAAUAGACUUUGUUGGUUGCCACCCCCAUAUCUCUGGGACAUAGAGUGGAUGUGACUCUCACGGUGAUUGGUAAUGCACCAACUAUUGUCAUACCCAUGAAGCAACCGUACCAAAACAGGGCACUCACACCUACAUGAACUGCUGUUUGCUGACUCUGGCUUCCCCUGCACACCGGAUAGCACAUGUCAUGGUCAGCGCAACUAAAUUAGUGAUGGGAGCCCCACACAUAAAAGGACAGAAGAGAAGAGAGUGACGUUUUGGCACAUGGGAGCAUGCGUUCCUGAUUUUUAAAAUUUAUUUUAAACAUCCUUUGAAAUGUCAAAAAAUUUCAAACAAAAACUUGGCGCGUACAUUUCGAUAUUAUACAUGCUCACAAAAUUGUUUCUCAAAAAACCGACAACUCACGUGUUGCGUGUGAAAAAGAAAAAAUCCGGUGUUAAAAAAUGCUUUUCACUAAACAUCCUUUUGUCUUUUUUACACAAGCCAGAAAAAAUGAUUGGUUUUCUCCGAAACUUGACAUGCACACAUAUAAUGUCGAGAUGUAUGCGCCAAAUUUUUCUUUGGAAUUUUUUCACACUUUGAAAUAUUUUUUCGUGUGCAGGAGCGCGUGCUCCCGGGAGCACCAACAGAUAUCCAUAGAAUAGAUAAGCAGAAGGCACUACACGCCAAGUAGCCACAAAUGAUUUCCUGCAUCUAUUUGGUCCUCUCAGCGUUCAAUCUAGUCUUACAAUACCUGAUCCCAAACCCAAUCUCCCACGAAUACAAGUUGUAGAUGUCCUGCGCCUCACCUAGCGAGUAGCGAGUUGAAUUCAGUCCCAGUUCUGGCUUGAUUACACUCUCCCUAGCCUCCUCUGCACAUUUCCGAAUCGACUGCUCCAAUGCCAUCAUCCUACAUGGACAAGGCCUUUUGUCCGAUGGAGAACUCCUGAGGUGUAACCUGAUUUUUUUAGGAACACAGUCGAUCGGAUAGAUGCAGGCUUACCUCUUUUAUCCAUCCUGGUCCUCCGGAUUGACCCUAUCAACGAACACCAGAAAUAAUAAAAAUUAUAUCUAUAUCCGUAGACCACAUAGCAAAGAUUACAAGCACUAAAGCGAGCCGAAUGCGCGCCGCUAUCAUUACCCCUCCCUCAACGGAGCUGGGCAAAACUUGUUGUAGUAGACAAUCGGGAAGUCGUCGUGCUAAGGUCUGAUAUGUCUCCGUCGUAUCUACUUUUCCAAAAACUUUUUUCCCUGUUUUGGACUCUAACUUGCAUGAUUUGAAUGGAACUAACCCGGAGUGACGUUGUUUUCAGCAGAACUGCCAUGGUGUUAUUUCUGUGCAGAAAUAAAAGUUCUCGGAAUGACCUCAAAAUCCACGGAGCAAAUUUUCAGAAUUAAUAAAAAAUACUAGUGAAAGAAUCAGCGUUAGGGGGCCCACACCCUAUCCACGAGGGUGGGGGCGCCCCCCUCCCCUAGGGUGCGCCCCCUACCUCAUGGGCCCCCUGGACGUCCACCGACCUCAACUCCAACUCCAUAUAUUUGCUUUCAUGGAGAAAAAAAUCAGAGAGAAAGUUUCAUCGCGUUUUACGAUACGGAGCCGCCGCCAAGCCCUAAUCUCUCUCGGGAGGGCUGAUCUGGAGUCCGUUCGGGGCUCCGGAGAGGGGGAUUCGUCGUUGUCAUCAUCAUCAACCAUCCUCCAUCACCAAUUUCAUGAUGCUCACCGCCAUGCGUGAGUAAUUCCAUCGUAGGCUUGCUGAACGGUGAUGGGUUGGAUGAGAUUUACCAUGUAAUCAAGUUAGUUUUGUUAGGGUUUGAUCCCUAGUGAAGGAAAUAUGCCCUAGAGGCAAUAAUAAAGUUAUUAUUUAUUUCCUCAUAUCAUGCUAAAUGUUUAUUAUUCAUGCUAGAAUUGUAUUCACCGGAAACAUGAUACAUGUGUGAAUACAUAGACAAACAUAGUGUCACUAGUAUGCCUCUACUUGACUAGCUCAUUAAUCAAAGAUGGUUAUGUUUCCUAACCAUAGACAUGUGUUGUCAUUUGAUUAAUGGGAUCACAUCAUUAGGAGAAUGUUGUGAUUGACUUGACCCAUUCCGUUAGCUUAGCACUUGAUCGUCUAGUAUGUUGCUAUUGCUUUCUUCAUGACUUAUACAAAGUUCCUACAACUAUGAGAUUGUGCAACUCCCGUUUACUGGAGGAACACUUUGUGUGCUACCAAACGUCACAGUAUAACUGGGUGAUUAUAAAGGUGCUCUACAGGUGUUUCCAAAGGUACAUGUUGAGUUGGCAUAAUUCGAGAUUAGGUUUUGUCACUCCGAUUGUCGGAGAGGUAUCUCUGGGCCCUCUCGAUAAUACUCAUCACUUAAGCCUUGCAAGCAUUGUAACUAAUGAGUUAGUUAUGAAAUGAUGUAUUACGGAACGAGUAAAGAGACUUGCCGGUAACGACAUUGAACUAGGUAUUGGAUACCGACGAUCGAAUCUCGGGCAAGUUACAUACCGAUGACAAAGGGAACAACGUAUGUUGUUAUGCAGUUUGACCGAUAAUGAUCUUCGUAGAAUAUGUAGGAACCAAUAUGAACAUGCAGGUUCCACUAUUGGUUAUUGACCGAGAAUAGUUCUAGGUCAUGUCUACAUAGUUCUCGAACCCGUAGGGUCCGCACGCUUAACGUUACGAUGACAGUUUUAUUAUGAGUUUAUAAGUUUUGAUGUACCGAAGUUUGUUUGGAGUCCCGGAUGUGAUCACGGACAUGACGAGGAGUCUCGAAAUGGUCGAGACAUAAAGAUUGAUAUAUUGGACGACUAUAUUCAGACACCGGAAGUGUUCCGGGUGAUUUCGGAGAAAACCGGAGUGNNNNNNNNNNNNNNNNNNNNNNNNNNNNNNNNNNNNNNNNNNNNNNNNNNNNNNNNNNNNNNNNNNNNNNNNNNNNNNNNNNNNNNNNNNNNNNNNNNNNNNNNNNNNNNNNNNNNNNNNNNNNNNNNNNNNNNNNNNNNNNNNNNNNNNNNNNNNNNNNNNNNNNNNNNNNNNNNNNNNNNNNNNNNNNNNNNNNNNNNNNNNNNNNNNNNNNNNNNNNNNNNNNNNNNNNNNNNNNNNNNNNNNNNNNNNNNNNNCCUUGGUGGGAAGAGAGUGGGGCGGCCAGGGUGGGCCGCGCGCCUCCUCUCCCUCUCGUCCGAAUUGGACUAGGAGGGGGGGCGGCGCCCCCCUUUCCUUUCCCCCUCUCCCCCUUCCUUCCCACUCCUAGUAGGAGUAGGAAAGGAGGAAUCCUACUCCUUCUAGGAAGAGGAUUCCUCCUCCUUGGCACGUCCCAAGGGGCCGGCCGGCCUCCCCUCUUGCUCCUUUAUAUACGGGGGCAGGGGGGCACCCUGGGACACACAAGUUGAUCUACGAAUCGUUCCUUAGCCGUGUGCAGUGCCCCCCUCCACCAUAUUCCACCUCGGUCAUAUCGUCGCAGAGUUUAGGCGAAGCCCUGCGCCGGUAGAACAUCAUCAUGGUCACCACGCCGUCGUGCUGACGGUACUCAUCCCUGACGCUUUGCUGGAUUGGAGCCCGGGGAAUGUCAUCUAGCUGAACGUGUGCUGAACACGGAGGUGCCGUACGUUCGGUGCUUGGAUCGGUCGAGUCGUGAAGACGUACGACUACAUCAACCGCGUUGUGAUAACGCUUCCGCUUACGGUCUACGAGGGUACGUGGACAACACUCUCCCCUCUCGUUGCUAUGCCAUCACCAUGAUCUUGCGUGUGCGUAGGAAAAUUUUGAAAUUACUACGUUCCCCAACAGUGGCAUCCGAGCCUAGGUUUUAUGCGUUUAUGUUAUAUGCAUGAGUAGAACACAAGUGAGUUGUGGGCGACACAAGUCAUACUGCUUACCAGCAUGUCAUACUUUGGUUCAACGGUAUUGUUGGAUGAAGCGGCCCGGACCGACAUUACGCGUAUGCUUACGCGAGACUGGUUCUACCGACGGGCUUUGCACACAGGUGGCUGGCGGGUGUCAGUUUCUCCAACUUUAGUUGAACCGAGUGUGGCUACGCCCGGUCCUUGCGAAGGUUAAAACAGCACUAACUUGACGAACUAUCAUUGUGGUUUUGAUGCGUAGGUAAGAACGGUUCUUGCUAAGCCCGUAGCAGCCACGUAAAACUUGCAACGACAAAGUAGAGGACGUCUAACUUGUUUUUGCAGGGCAUGUUGUGAUGUGAUAUGGUCAAGACGUGAUGCUCUAUUUAUUGUAUGAGAUGAUCAUGUUUUGUAACCGAAGUUAUCGGCAACUGGCAGGAGCCAUAUGGUUGUCGCUUUAUUGUAUGAAAUGCAAACGCCCUGUAAUUGCUUUACUUUAUCACUAAGCGGUAGCGAUAGUCGUAGAAGCAAUAGAUGGCGUAAACGACAACGAUGCUACGAUGGAGAUCAAGGUGUCGCGCCGGUGACGAUGGUGAUCACGACGGUGCUUCGGAGAUGGAGAUCACAAGCACAAGAUGAUGAUGGCCAUAUCAUAUCACUUAUAUUGAUUGCAUGUGAUGUUUAUCCUUUAUGCAUCUUAUCUUGCUUUGGUUGACGGUAGCAUUUUAAGAGGUGUUCUCUCUGAAUAUGCACCGUUGCCAAAGUUCCUCGUGCCCAGACACCACGUGAUGAUCGGGUAUGAUAAGCUCUACGUCCAUCUACAACGGGUGCAAGCCAGUUUUGCACACGCAGAAUAUUCAGGUUAUACUUGACGAGCCUAGCAUAUGCAGAUAUGGCCUCGGAACACAAAGACCGAAAGGUCGAGCGUGAAUCAUAUAGUAGAUAUGAUCAACAUAGUGAUGUUCACCAUUGAAAACUACUCCAUCUCACGUGAUGAUCGGUUAUGGUUUAGUUGAUUUGGAUCACGUAAUCACUUAGAUGACUAGAGAGAUAUCUAUCUAAGUGGGAGUUCUUAAGUAAUAUGAUUAAUUGAACUUAAAUUUAUCAUGAACUUAGUACCUGAUAGUAUUUUUAUUGUCUAUGUUUGUUGUAGAUAGAUGGCUCGUGCUGUUGUUCCAUUGAAUUUUAAUGCGUUCCUUGAGAAAGCAAAGUUGAAAGAUGAUGGUAGCAAUUACACGGACUGGGUCCAUAACUUGAGGAUUAUCCUCAUUGCUGCACAGAAGAAUUACGUCCUGGAAGCACCGCUGGGUGCCAGGCCUGCUGCAGGAGCAACACCAGAUGUUGUGAACGUCUGGCAGAGCAAAGCUGAUGACUACUCUAUAGUUCAGUGUGCCAUGCUUUACGGCUUAGAACCGGGUCUUCAACGACGUUUUGACUGUCAUGGAGCAUAUGAGAUGUUCCAGGUGUUGAAGUUAAUAUUUCAAGUAAAUGCCCGGAUUGAGAGAUAUGAAGUCUCCAAUAAGUUCUACAGCUGCAAGAUGGAGGAGAAUAGUUCUGUUAGUGAGCAUAUAGUCAAAAUGUCUGGGUAUAAUAAUCACUCGAUUCAACUGGGAGUUAAUCUUCCGGAUGAUAGCAUCAUUGACAGAAUUCUCCAAUCACUGCCACCAAGCUACAAGAGCUUCGUGAUGAACUAUAAUAUGCAAGGGAUGAACAAGACAAUUCCCGAGCUCUUCGCAAUGCUAAAGGCUGCGGAGGUAGAAAUCAAGAAGGAGCAUCAAGUGUUGAUGGUCAACAAGACCACUAGUUUCAAGAAAAAGGGCAAAGGGAAGAAGAAGGGGAACUUCAAGAAGAACAGCAAGCAAGUUGCUGCUCAAGAGAAGAAACCCAAGUCUGGACCUAAGCCUAAAACUGAGUGCUUCUACUGCAAGCAAACUGGUCACUGGAAGCGGAACUGCCCCAAGUAUUUGGCGGAUAAGAAGGAUGGCAAAGUGAACAAAGGUAUAUGUGAUAUACAUGUUAUUGAUGUGUACCUAACUAGAGCUCGUAGUAGCACCUGGGUAUUUUAUACUGGUUCUAUUGCUAAUAUUUGCAACUCGAAACAGGGACUACGGAAUAAGCGAGCACUGGCCAAGGACGAGGUGACGAUGCGCAUGGGAAACGGUUCCAAAGUCGAUGUGAUCGCGGUCGGCACGCUACCUCUACAUCUACCUUCGGGAUUGUCUUAGACCUGAAUAAUUGUUAUUUGGUGCCAAUGUUGAGCAUGAACAUUAUACCUGGAUCUUGUUUGAUGUGAGACGAUUAUUCAUUUAAAUCAGAGAAUAAUGGUUGUUCUAUUUAUAUGAGUAAUAUCUUUUAUGGUCAUGCACCCUUGAAGAGUGGUCUAUUUUUAUUGAAUCUCGAUAGUAGUGAUACACAUAUUCAUAAUGUCCAAGCCAAAAGAUGCAGAGUUGAUAAUGAUAGUGCAACUUAUUUGUGGCACUGCCGUUUAGGUCAUAUCGGUGUAAAGCGCAUGAAGAAACUCCAUACUGAUGGACUUUUGGAAUCACUUGGUACUUGCGAAUCGUGCCUCAUGGGCAAGAUGACUAAAACACCGUUCUCCGGUACUAUGGAGAGAGCAACAGAUUUGUUUGAAAUCAUACAUACAGAUGUAUGUGGACCGAUGAAUAUUGAAGCUCGUGGCGGAUAUCGUUAUUUUCUCAGCUUCACAGAUGAUUUGAGCAGAUAUGGGUAUAUCUACUUAAUGAAACACAAGUCUGAAACAUUUGAAAAGUUCAAAGAAUUUCAGAGUGAAGUGGAAAAUCAUCGUAACAAGAAAAUUAAGUUUCUACGAUCUGAUAGUGGAGGAGAAUAUUUGAGUUACGAGUUUGGUUUACAUUUGAAACAAUGCGGAAUAGUUUCGCAACUCACGCCACCCGGAACACCACAACGUAAUGGUGUGUCCGAACGUCGUAGUCGUACUUUACUAGAUAUGGUGCGAUCUAUGAUGUCUCUUACUGAUUUACCGCUAUCGUUUUGGGGUUAUGCUUUAGAGCUGGCUGCAUUCACAUUGAAUAGGGCACCAUCAAAAUCCGUUGAGACGACGCCUUAUGAACUAUGGUUUGGCAAGAAACCAAAGUUGUUGUUUCUUAAAGUUUGGGGCUGCGAUGCUUAUGUGAAGAAACUUCAACCAGAUAAGCUCGAACCCAAAUCGGAGAAAUGUGUCUUCAUAGGAUACCCAAAAGAGAGACUGUUGGGUACACCUUCUAUCACAGAUCCGAAGGCAAGACAUUCGUUGCUAAGAAUGGAUCCUUUCUAGAAAAAGAGUUUCUCUCGAAAAAAGUGAGUGGGAGGAAAGUAGAACUUGAUGAGAUAACCAUGUCUGCUCCCUCAUUGGAAAGUAGUUCAUCACAGAAAUCAGUUCUUGUGACAUCUACACCAAUUAGUGAGGAAGAUAAUGAUAUUGAUCAUGAAACUUCAGAUCAAGUUUCUACUGAACCUCGUAGGUCUACCAGAAUAAAAUCUGCACCAGGGUGAUACGGUAAUCCUAUUCUGGAAGUCAUGUUACUUGACCAUGAUGAACCUACGAACUAUGAGGAAGCGAUGAUGAGCCCAGAUUCCGCAAAAUGGCUAGAAGCCAUGAAAUCUGAGAUGGGAUCCAUGUAUGAAAACAAAGUAUGGACUUUGGUUGACUUGCCCGAUGAUCGGCAAGCAAUUGAGAAUAAAUGGAUCUUUAAGAAGAAGACUGACGCUGACGGUAAUGUAACUGUCUAUAAAGCUUGACUUGUUGCGAAAGGUUUUCGACAAGUUCAAGGGGUUGACUACGAUGAGACUUUCUCACCCAUAGUGAUGCUUAAGUCUGUCUGAAUCAUGUUAGCGAUUGCCGCAUUUUAUGAUUAUGAAAUUUGGCAGAUGGAUGUCAAAACUGCAUUUCUGAAUGGAUUUCUGGAAGAAGAGUUGUAUAUGAUGCAACCGGAACAUUUUGUCGAUCCUAAGGGAGCUAACAAAGUGUGCAAGCUCCAGCGAUCAAUCUAUGGUCUGGUGCAAGCCUCUCGGAGUUGGAAUAAAUGCUUUGAUAGUGUGAUCAAAGCAUAUGGUUUUAUACAGACUUUUGGAGAAGCCUGUAUUUACAAGAAAGUGAGUGGGAGCUCUGUAGCAUUUCUAAUAUUAUAUGUGGAUGACAUAUUGUUGAUUGGAAAUGAUAUAGAAUUUCUGAAUGGCAUAAAAGGAUACUUGAAUAAAAGUUUUUCAAUGAAAGACCUCGGUGAAGCUGCUUACAUAUUGGGCAUUAAGAUCUAUAGAGAUAGAUCAAGACGCUUGAUUGGACUUUCACAAUGCACGUACCUUGAUAAAGUGUUGAAAAAGUUCAAUAUGGAUCAGGCGAAGAAAGGGUUCUUGCCUGUAUUACAAGGUAUAAAGUUGAGUCAGACUCAAUGCCCGACCACUGCAGAAGAUAGAGAGAAAAUGAAAGGAGUUCCCUAUGCUUCAGCCAUAGGAUCUACCAUGUAUGCAAUGCUGUGUACCAGACCUGAUGUGUGCCUUGCUAUUAGUUUGGCAGGGAGGUACCAAAGUAAUCUAGGAGUGGGUCACUGGACAGCGGUCAAGAACAUCCUGAAAUACCUGAAAAGGACUAAGGAUAUGCUUCUCGUAUAUGGAGGUGACAAAGAGCUAGUCGUAAAUGGUUACGUCGAUGCAAGCUUUGACACUGAUCCGGACGAUUCUAAAUCGCAAACCGGAUACGUAUUUUUGUUAAACGGUGGAGAUGUAAGUUGGUGCAGUUCUAAACAAAGCGUCGUGGCGGGAUCUACAUGUGAAGCAGAGUACAUAACUGCUUCGGAAGCAGCAAAUGAAGGAGUCUGGAUGAAGGAGUUCAUUUCUGAUCUAGGUGUUAUACCUAGUGCAUCGGGACCAAUGAAGAUCUUCUGUGACAAUACUGGUGCAAUUGCCUUGGCAAAGGAAUCCAGAUUUCACAAGAGGACGAAGCACAUCAAGAGAAGCUUCAAUUCCAUUCGGGACCAAGUCCAAGUGGGAGACAUAGAGAUUUGCAAAAUACAUACGGAUCUGAAUGUUCCAGACCCAUUGAGUAAGCCUCUCUCACGAGCAAAACAUGAUCAGCACCAAGACUCCAUGGGUGUUAGAAUCAUUACUAUGUAAUCUAGAUUAUUGACUCUAGUGCAAGUGGGAGACUGAGGGAAAUAUGCCCUAGAGGCAAUAAUAAAGUUAUUAUUUAUUUCCUCAUAUCAUGAUAAAUGUUUAUUAUUCAUGCUAGAAUUGUAUUAACCGGAAACAUGAUACAUGUGUGAAUACAUAGACAAACAUAGUGUCACUAGUAUGCCUCUACUUGACUAGCUCAUUAAUCAAAGAUGGUUAUGUUUCCUAACCAUAGACAUGUGUUGUCAUUUGAUUAAUGGGAUCACAUCAUUAGGAGAAUGUUGUGAUUGACUUGACCCAUUCCGUUAGCUUAGCACUUGAUCGUUUAGUAUGUUGCUAUUGCUUUCUUCAUGACUUAUACAAAGUUCCUACAACUAUGAGAUUGUGCAACUCCCGUUUACCGGAGGAACACUUUGUGUGCUACCAAACGUCACAACGUAACUGGGUGAUUAUAAAGGUGCUCUACAGGUGUCUCCAAAGGUACAUGUUGAGUUGGCAUAAUUUGAGAUUAGGUUUUGUCACUCCGAAUGUCGGAGAGGUAUCUCUGGGCCCUCUCGGUAAUACUCAUCACUUAAGCCUUGCAAGCAUUGUAACUUAUUAGUUAUUUAUGAAAUGAUGUAUUACGGAACGAGUAAAGAGACUUGCCGGUAACGAGACUGAACUAGGUAUUGGAUACCGAUGAUCGAAUCUCGGGCAAGUAACAUAGCGAUGACAAAGGGAACAACGUAUGUUGUUAUGCGGUUUGACCGAUAAAGAUCUUCGUAGAAUAUGUAGGAACCAAUAUGAACAUCCAGGUUCCACUAUUGGUUAUUGACCGAGAAUAGUUCUAGGUCACGUCUAUAUAGUUCUCGAACACGUAGGGUCCGCACGCUUAACGUUAUGAUGAUAGUUUUAUUAUGAGUUUAUAAGUUUUGAUGUACCGAAGUUUGUUCGGAGUCCCGGAUGUGAUCACGGACAUGACGAGGAGUCUCAAAAUGGUCAAGACAUAAAGAUUGAUAUAUUGGACGACUAUAUUCGAACACCGGAAGUGUUCCGGGUGAUUUCGGAGAAAACCAGAGUGUCGGAGGGUUACCGGAACCCUCCCGGGAGAGUUAAUGGGCCACAUGGGCCUUGGUGGGAAGAGAGAGGGCGGACAGGGUGGGCCAUGCGCCCCCUCUCCCUCUAGUCCGAAUUGGACUAGGAGGGGGGGCGGCGCCCCCCUUUCCUUUCCCCCUCUCCCCCUUCCUUCCCCCUCCUAGUAGGAGUAGAAAAGGAGGAAUCCUACUCCUACUAGGAGGAGGAUUCCUCCUCCUUGGAGCGCCCCAAGGGGCCGGCCGGCCUCCCCCCCUUGCUCCUUAGGACACACAAGUUGAUCUACGGAUCGUUCCUUAGCCAUGUGCGGUGCCCCCCUCCACCAUAUUCCACCUCGGACAUAUCGUCGCGGAGUUUAGGCGAAGCCCUGCGCCGGUAGAACAUCAUCAUCGUCACCACAUCGUCGUGCUGACGAAACUCAUCCCCGGCGCUUUGCUGGAUUGGAGCCUGGGGAACGUCAUCGAGCUGAACGUGUGCUGAACACGGAGGUGCCGUACGUUCGGUGCUUGGAUCGGUCGAGUCGUGAAGACGUACGACUACAUCAACCGCGUUGUGAUAACGCUUCCGCUUACGGUCUACGAGGGUACGUGGACAAUACUCUCCCCUCUCGUUGCUAUGCCAUCACCAUGAUCUUGUGUGUGCGUAGGAAAAUUUUGAAAUUACUACGUUCCCCAACACCUAGUAUCCACUAUGUUCUGAGUUUGAUGUUGCUAUGACUUUGCUAUGCUCAAUGCUUGUCACUAGGACCCAAGUGCCAUGAUUUUAUAUAUGAACCUAUUAUGUUUUCAUGAAUAUAUGUGAGUUCUUGAUCCUAUCAUGCAAGUCUAUAGUCACCUAUUAUGUGUUAUGAUUCCACAACCCCGAAGUGACAAUAAUUGGGAUACUUCUCGGUGAUGACCGUAGUUUGAGGAGUUCAUGUAUUCACUAUGUGUUAAUGCUUUGGUCCGGUACUCUAUUAAAAGGAGGCCUUAAUAUCCCUUAGUUUCCAUUAGGACCCCGCUGCCGCGGGAGGGUAGGACAAAAGAUGGCAUGCAAGUUCUUUUCCAUAAGCACAUAUGACUAUAUUCAGAAUACAUGCCUACAUUACAAUGAUGAACUGGAGCUAGUUCUGUGUCACCCUAUGUUAUAACUAUUACAUGAGGAAUCGCAUCCGACAUAAUUAUCCAUCACUGAUCCAAUGCCUAUGAGCUUUUCACAUAUUGUGCUUUGCUUAUUUACAUUACCGUUGCCACUGUUACAAUUACUACAAAACUGCUACCGUUACUUUUGCUACCGUUACCGUUACUUCCAUACUACUUUGCUACUAAAUACUUUGCUGCAGAUACUAAGUUAUCCAGGUGUGGUUGAAUUGACAACUCAACUGCUUAAUACUUAAGAAUAUUCUUUGGCUCCCCUUGUGUCGAAUCAAUAAAUUUGGGUUGAAUACUCUACCCUCGAAAACUGUUGCGAUCCCCUAUACUUGUGGGUUAUUAAGACUAUUUUCUGGCACCGUUGCCUAGGAGCAUAGAUCUAUUCUUUGAAUCACUUGAGAUUUCUAUCUGCUGGUCACUAUGAGGAACUUCAAAGACGAAAGAACUAAGAUUUAUCCCUCAACUACGAGGGGAGAUAAGGAACUACCAUCUAGAUCUGCACUAGAUUCUCCUUCUGUUAUGAGUAAGCUUGCGACACCUAAACCUGCUUCUGCUAUUAAUUCUGAUAUUUCGCAUGUUAUUGAUGAUGCCACUUCUACUAUGCAUGAUACUUAUGAUGAAACUACUUUUGUGCUUGAUACUACUGUGCCAUUAGGUGAAUAUCUUGAUGCACAACUUGCUAGGGUUAGAGAGAAAGAAAUUCUUGAAACUGAUAUUAUUGAAGAUAGUGAUGAUGAAGGUUCUCCCCCUAAAUAUGAAUUGCCUGUUGUUCCUGAGGGUUAUGUUAUGGAUGAAGAAACUGUUAGAGAUUUUCUUGCUUGCAAUGAUAGAUCUGAUCUUAAGAAGUUAUUAGCUAAACUGAAACAGAAAACUCUGAAUGCUAGAAUGAAAUAUGACCGUGCUUUUUCUACUUCACCUAUCUUUAUUACUGAUAAGGAUUAAGAUUUCUCUGUUGAUCCUGAGAUAAUUACUUUGGUUGAAUCUGAUCCUUUCUAUGGCUAUGAAUUUGAAACUGUUGGGGCACAUCUUACUAAGUUAAAAGAUAUAGCCACCCUGUUCACUAAUGAUGAGAAAUCUCGCUACUACUAUAUUCUUAAGAUAUUUGCGUUCUCAUUAAAGGGUGAUGCUAAAACUUGGUUUAAUUAUUUUGAUCCUGGUUGUGUGGGUAGUCCCCGGGAUAUGAUUUAUUACUUCUCUGCUAAAUAUUUCCUUGCUCAUAAGAAACAAGCUGCCUUGAGGGAAAUAUAUAAUUUUGUGCAAAUUGAAGAAGAGAGUCUCCCACAAGCUUGGGGGAGGCUUCUCCGGUUGCUUAAUGCUUUGCCUGAUCAUCCUCUUAAGAAAAACGAAAUACUUGAUAUCUUUUACUAACUGAUGCUUCCAAGGACAACUUGGAUAGUUGUGCUGGUUGUGUUUUCAGGGAAAGAACAGUCGAUCAAGCUAAAUUGCUAUUGAAUAAUAUGUUGACUAAUGAAAAUAAUUGGACUCUUCCUGAGCCAAUUCUUGAGCCAACUCCUAAACCUACUCCGAAGAAGAGGGGUGUUCUAUUUCUUAGUCCCGAAGAUAUGCAAGAGGGAAAGAAAUCUAUGAAAGAAAAAGGUAUUAAAGCUAAAGGUGUUAAGAAUUUACCUCCUGUUGAAGAAAUACAUGGUCUUAAUUUACCACCUAUUGAAGAAACACAUGGUCUUGAUAACCCGACACAGGUAGUAAAGGUAAAUUCUCUCUAUAGAUAUGAUAAGGUUGAAAUCCCGUCUACUAAGUUUGCUAGCCAAUGCUUGGAUGAAUUUGAUGACUUUAUGGCUAGACAAGAAAAUUUCAAUGCUUAUGUUGGUAGAGAAUUAAAGAGUAAUUCUUAUAUGAUUGGACGCUUGAGUGAUUAUAUGGCUAGAGUUAAAGGUGAACUUAAACUCAUUAGUAAAUAUGCUUCUAUGGUUACCACUCAAGCAGAAUAAGUACUUAAAGCUCAAAGUCAUUUGCUCGAUGAAUUAAAUAAUAAACAUGAUUUUGUAUUUAUAGUGGCUACUAGAACGGGUAGAAUGACUCAGGAACCUUUGUAUCCUGAAGGCCACCCUAAGAGAAUUGAGCAAGAUUCUCAGAGAAAUAAUGUAGAUGCACCUAGUCCUUCUAAAAAGAAGAAAAAGAAAAAUGAUAGGACUUUGCAUGCUUCUAGUGAACCCGUUGUAGACACACCUGAGAAUCCCAAUGAUACUUCUAUUUCUGAUGUUGAAACACAAUCUGGUGAUGAACAUGAACCUAGUGAUAAUGUUAAUGAUAAUGUUCAUGUUGAUGCUCAACCUAGAAAUAAUAAUGAUGUAGAGAUUGAACCUGCUGUUGAUCUUGAUAACCCACAAUCAAAGAAUCAACGUUAUGAUAAGAGUGAUUUUGUUGCUAGGAAGCACGGUAAAGAAAGAGAACCAUGGGUUCAGAAACCCAUGCCUUUUCCUCCUAAGCCAUCUAAGAAAAAGGAUGAUGAGGAUUUUGAGCACUUUGCUGAAAUGAUUAGACCUAACUUCUUACGUAUGCGCUUAACUGAUAUGCUUAAAGUGAAUCCUUAUGCUAAAUACAUGAAGGAUAUUAUUACAAAUAAAAGAAAGAUACCGGAAGCUGAAAUUUCCACCAUGCUUUCUAAUUAUACUUUUAAAGAUGGAAUACCUAAGGAACUAGGAGAUCCAGGAGUACCAACUAUACCAUGCUCCAUUAAAAGAAACUAUGUUAAAACUGCUUUAUGUGAUCUUGGAGCCGGUGUUAGUGUUAUGCCUCCCUCUUUAUAUCGUAGACUUGAAUUGAAUAAGUUGAGACCUACUGAAAUAUCUUCGCAAAUGGCCGAUAAAUCAACUGCUAUACCUGUCGGUAUUUGUGAGGAUGUGCCUGUUGUGGUUGCAAACAUCACUAUCUUAACGAACUUUGUGAUUCCUGAUAUUCCUGAGGACAAUAGCAUGUAUAUUAUCCUUGGUAGACCCUUUUUGAAUACUGUAGGGGUUGUUAUUGAUUGCAACAAAGGCAAUGUCACUUUUCAUAUUAAUGGUAAUGAGCAUACGGUACACUUUCCGAGGAAACAACCUCAAGUUCAUAGCAUCAAUUCUAUUAGAAAAAUUCCAACUAUUAUUAUUGGAGGUUUUGAAUUUCCUCUUCCUACUGUCAAGAAGAAAUAUGAUAUUCUUAUUUUUGGGGAUGUGCAUAUCCCCAUUAAGGUAACCUGGUGUCAUUCGAAAUUUCUCCGGUUCCAUGUUAUUCGGAAUGAGUUUGUUAACAAGACUUGAUCAACCUUGUUAGUGGAUUCCUUUUGAUGAGCAUGAGAUGGAUGAAGUUAGAAAGCACAACCUCCUGUACCCUCCUUUUACUUUCUGUUAUUUAGAUUAAAUAAAGUAAAAAUAGUAUUUUCUGUCUGUUUUCUGGAUUAUCCAUGCAAUAAACAAUACCCCGAAAAUAAAAUUUCUCCAAAUGCCCUACAAAUUUAGUAUGAUUUUUCUGGAAAAUUUGAGAAUAUUUGGCACUGAGAACACAACAGGGGGAGCUGGCACCUGGCCACGAGGGUCCAGGGCGCGCCCACCCCUAUAGGGCACACCCCCUGCCUCGUGGGCCCAUGGUGGCCCCCUCCACUUAUUCCCGCACCCACACACUUCUUCUUCCUCCCAAAAAAAUCACCAUCUAGCUCAAGCACGAGUUCUAGCUCAUUUUGCUGCAGUUUUUGAUCUCCUUGCUCAAAGUUCCAUUCACAAAACUGCUUUGGGAGAUUGUUCCUUGGUAUGUGACUCCUCCAAUGGUCCAAUUAGUUUUUGUUCUAGUGCUUUAUUCAUUGUGGCACCCCGGCUCAGAGAAACCGGAACGCCCCGUAUUCCAGCCCAAAGAUCAAGGAGAAGUCUUCUAGAAUACGGCACUGCUUAGCAUAGAACAAACCAGCUUUCUACUAUUACACAAAUAUGAAUACAAGGUCUCCGAUAUUACAAUGAAUAACAUCGAUACGGCGACACUAUGCCAUCCUCGGUUACUCUAUGCAAGCAGCAGAACAACUCGAAGUAGCGGAAGAACUCUAGCAGCGGACCAAUGACGAUGGUGGUGAACUCCACUCCGCAGGGACUCUGGCUAGAACGCUUAUCCUAACUCCGUCGUGGCCCGUCCCACUCUAGGACAAGGAUCCGAAAACUAACUCAACAAUGGGCACACAAGGCUUAUGUCCGCCUACCUAAUCGGGGUAGCGCGCGCCCAUAACCUUCCCUCGUUGGAGGCACCGGCGAGAGGCACAACAAUAGACCCAGUUAGGACCGACCCAUACCGGUAAGCGUGGUUGCACUGGUCAGCAUCGAUUCAGCGGCACCAUGACUCAGCCAACAGUUGUUCAAGUUCAAUUUAAUCCGGUUAACUUGAAUGCAAAUAUGCUGAGUCAUGAUAAAAUGCAUGAACAUGAUAUCAACAUCAUCAUGAGUGUAUCACAUAACUUUCCACCAUAUCAACAAUAAAUCAUAUCCACUGAGCAUGGCAUACUGACUAGCACGACCAUCACCAACAUCAACAUGUACUACUAGCAAUCAUAAAUAUAUGAAAGUUAAUACUAGCAGGUAGAACAUGAUAACAGAGUACAAGACAUCAUAGCACAAAGGUUAACAUGCAACUCUAAACAUCACCGGAACAACGAUAACCAUCUUGUCAACAAGCAAAUAUUUAAUAAAGAUUCAAGUUGAAAACCAUGGCUACUGCACGACUAUCAUGCAAGUGGGUAUUGUGGCUUGCCUGGGGAUGAAGAAGGCACCGGGGAGAAGUGCGGUGAAGCCGCGAAACGAAUUGCUGGAAAAUGUUGUCUCUCGGAGGGGGCUGACUAAGGGCAAGGGCAAAAUGUUCAUUUUCAGUAUGCCAAAACAUAAUGAAAGUUAGACCAACAGAAAGGGCUCGACGAAACAAAGAAGUGAGCAUUGGAUUCACCUCGUUUGGAGUUACGGAUAAAAAGAUAUAAGGGUUUUACUGUGAGGGACCUAUCUGUAAACAUUUAUUUUACAGAUUGGGCCAAAACAAAAAAACGGAAAGCGCAUGCCAAGAUUUACGUUUCCACUUAUCCAGCGUGACAGUGGCGGGGCCGGCUCCUGUGUGGCCGACAGGCGGGUCCCACCUUAUCCACUCCCUCUCUCUCCCCCCUUCUCUUCUUCCUCUCUCCUUCUCCCGACGCCGCACGCAGAGCAGAGGAGAGGCCGCCGGCGCCGACGCUCGCUCCGGCCACUCGGGCCACCUCCGACGGAGCUUGGACCGCCGGAGUGCUCAGGACGGCGAGGCGCACCCGUCCCACCACCACACGAACAUCGGGGAGACUCGGGCAGGGCGGGACCAUGGCCACGGCGAACGGGGCUUCGGCCGAUGAUAGAGGACAAGGCCAUGGCAAUUCCGGCGACUAACGGAGGGCUGCAGAGAGGCUAUGAUGGCUGGCUGACCUACUAGAGGUGGAAGAUACAGGAGAGGGGCUUCGGUUCGGCGGAAUCGGACUGGACAGGGGCGGCGGCCAUGGCGGCAAGGGCGGGCUCAGGAGCUCUUGGAGUUCGAACGAGUGGACGGGGAGGUUGCUGGGAGUGAGGCGAGUCUCGGGGUGAGCUCAGACAAGGCCGGGGAUGGCUUAAAUAGCCGCGGGGCAAGGUGGCCGACCUGGCACCACCGCGGACGCGUGGCCGGCGCCACGGACGCGUGCCCGCGCGCAUGAACUCAGGGGAAAACGACGGAGGAGGAGGAGUGGGGGCUCUCAUGGGGCAGAGGAUGCCAAUGGGGCGCAGGGAGGAAGACUACGGUCACGGGAAGAUCCAAAACCCCACUGUGCUCUCGUGUUCACGCGGCGGCGAGCGUCGAUGAGCAAGCAGACGGAGGGGGAGAGGGGUCCAGGGGAACGACGAUGAGGAGAGGAAGACAAUGGACAGGCUCACGAGCGCGAAAACGGCAAGAGGGGGAGGGGCGCGAGCAAGAAGACGCUCUGGGCGUGGCCAUUGCACGCCAAAACGGUGGUCACCAUGUGAACCGGUGCACACAGUGCCACAAGUGAUGCCAAACCAUGUCUGGGGGUUAGUCCCUCAUGGGUAAGUUGUAACUACGGGGGUAACUAAGUGAAAACGUCUCUGGUUAAAUACUUAGUGAGCUCUGAAGUUUACUGCAGUAAACUUUACCAGCUCAAUAUGAUCAACAGGGAGUUACCUGAAGCCACGGAAUUUGUCUGGGGUGUAUAGCUAUGGAGGGACUAUGAUCCUGGAGGUUUUGAGGGGAAAUGGAACAAGAUAAAUCGUAUUUGCUUUGCAACUGCCAAAAUGGUCCAGAAAUGAAGAUUAGGAUGGUGCACUCACAUGGAGUGUCCACUUGAGCUCAAAUUGGGCAAGGCUUAGUCAUUUGGUCAUAUGAAGAUGCUCACAAAGUAUCAUACCAUUUGGCAAAGCCAAAAUGGUACUUGCUUCACAAACAUCUCUACUGACCAGAAACUUGAAAUAAUUAUGGUGAUCAAAUGGAUCAAUGAAAUGAUGCCAAAUUGGGUGGAGAGAUGUUUUAUGGGUAUAAGAAGGAUCUGGUAAUUUAUCAGGAUUUUUGAAGCAAUAUAAAAUACACUUCCUUCACAACCUGGAAAUAUUGCUAGAAACAAAGAUUUGCUCCUAUGCUCACAUAGAUAAUUGGAUGGGGCUGCAUAUGGGUGGAAGGGGUUAGUAUGAGCACUUUAAGGAGUGUGCAAAAUUUUAACUCAUUUUGAGACUCCUUGCUAGUACUUCCUGCAUAAAGCCUUCCGUUUGACAGAAACUUUGAAAAAUCACUGAGGAAGAUUGGCUAGGCAAAUAAAUUUAAACUUGUGCAUGGGGCAAUUAUUUGGACAUGUAAACAUGCCCAAAAAGGUUGGGAUUCAAUAGGAGAAAUAUAAAUGACACUUCCUUCACAAAGUGCCAUGCAGGGCAAAAUAGAAAAAGGAAUUUUUGGGGAAUUAUUUAAUGGAAAUAAAAAGUUUUGCCAUAUUUGAGCAAGAUAUGACCCAAACAAUUUAUGAGAAUUAUUUGGGAAUUUUUGGAGUAAUGGAAACAGAGGUUGCUUCACAACCUAGGGCAAUUUGAGUUAUUCUUUAAUUGAAAAGGAAUAUUCCCAAUAAAAAGAAUAUUAAGAUUUGGGCUAGGAUGGAAAUGACAGGGUCUAGCGAAAGAUUUGGGGAUGACAAGCCACUCUGCAAGCAAAGAAGAGGUCAUCUCGUUCAGUUUCCAGACCACAAAGCCACGGAAAAAGAAAACUCAGGCAAAAACCUCAGAAAAACAAAAGAAAAAGAAAGGGCCAAAAAUCAGGCUGUCACAAACCUUACCCCCUUAAAGAAAUCUCGUCCUCGAGAUUUGGUUGCUCAGGGAACAAGUAUGAAUAUUCUGACUUGAGGAAACCGUUUCCAACUCGGGUAUCCUUUUUUCCUUUAUUGGUGUUCCCAUUAAAUUUUUAUCUGACUGGCCCUGGGGUGGUUUGAUUUGCUUUAUCCACAUUCUGACAGAUCUUACCUUGCUUGCUCAUGCUUAUAUAGGCUCCAAUUUCUUUUUAGAUCUGCUGACUAGCUGAGUGUGAUUUAAUUAUCACGACUGAAAUAUAUGUCCGUCUCACAAAUCCAAAAGUGAUUUCCGCUGGGUGUGCCACCUGGCACUGACAACCUUUCAUGUAAUGAUGAUUUCUGAUGAAAACUCAAGCUCUGACUCAUUGCAUUGGGUUUCUCCACUAAAUGCAGGUCCUUUGGGUUCCAAACAGUGAGUUAAAACAUAACCAUUUCCUGACAGAUUCUGACGCAUCGCAGGAGUUUCUGAAUCAUCUUACCGGUUCCACUGUCGUGAGUAUCGGAUCCGUACCAAAUAUUUGAUUGUCUCCUGUCGCGGCCAGCAUAAAGGGUUUGGCCUGUAUUAUAAUAUCUGCAGAGUUGACUGAUGGUGGUUCUGACGGAAAACUUUUGUUCAUGACAGGCUGUCCAUGAUGAUUCAUAUUAGUGAGGACUCAGGCUUCCAGACUGUUAUCCUCAUGCUGAUUAUUCAUGCUGUAGGCAUAUCCAUGUGGAUCAAUUACUGACUUAGACUGUCCGGGGAAUCUGCACCAUGGGGGUCAUGUACGAUUUUCAUACCUGCCUCACUGGUCUUGCUCCUUCAUUAUUGUUUUCUUGGUCUGGAUCUUUGGCUAAAAGAGCUGGGCCAUAUUGUUUCUUUGUAUGACCAUAGAUACUGUUGGUGCAAUUUUCUCAGCAAUCGUAGCUUAUUCUCAUUUUUCUAACAGGGUAACCCAUUAAAUGGCAGGUUCAACACCUCUCAAGUUCUGAUUGUUGGGAAAUGAUCAUCCAAAAUCCUUGCAAGAACUCUGCAAAUAAAUCAGUAGCCACCAGAAUGGUCUUUAUAACUCAGAUCUGGGACAUUACUGAAAUAACUCAACCACGGCUCAAGACGGCCGAAAAACAGCUCAGGGCAUGAGACCGGGUCGAUAAGAAGAAGGUGGCAGCUCCCUAAAAUAGCCAAAAGCAGCUAUAGGGCUACUGUCACAAAAAGAAACUCAACAGCUGUACGAGACAGCCGAAAAGUAGCUCAGACUCGUGAUAGUUGUUGAAGAGAGAAACAAAAAUCGGCAUCCACCCCGGAUAGCUAGAAACAUCUUAGGUCACAGGCGUGGUGCCGUCAUUGGAGAAAAGGGGACAAGGGCCCAUCAGGAUCAUUUUCCAGGUUCACGGGUACUUGUAUUGAGCUCAUUGAUGUCGUCAAUCCUCAUAAUCCUUUGUCACACUGUGGUGUAUACUGGCUUUCUUCUAUUAACCAUUCUCACGUGGUUGUUGGAUCCUCAUCCGAGUGACUUGUAAAAUCUUGAUGGUAUUCUCAUUGCAUAUAUAUGAGAAUCUGAUUCCCGAGAUAGAUGUGUAUUCUGACUGAUUCUUGAGAUUCACUGCCAUAUGUUGGCAAUUCACAGUGUACUACCUUGUACCAAUGUCUUACUGAGGGAUAUUAGCUGGCUUGUGCUCGAAGCUUUCAUCGGAUAGCUUGCUGAAGAAGACUGGGUAUCGUGCUUCAGAAACUUACCCCCUUGAAGACUUUGCUGGGGAAAGACUCUGUACCUUAUGCUGGAAGCUUUUGAAGUUGCUUACUGAAGAAGACAGGGUACCUUGCACGGGAAGUCGUCCAUGUAUCGUACUGAGGAAGAUAGAUGAAUCUUGCCUUGGAAGCUUCUCUGGUAUUUUGCGAUUGAAGAUUGGGCUGCUUACACUAGAAGCUUCUUAUUGUGAUAUGCAGACCAAUUUCCACAUAUAUAACAAUCUGAAUAUUUUUUCUAUUGAUUUCUUGCAUGAAAUGGGGUUUUGCAGGACUAUCCUCCUUUCUGAGUAUAUGCCAUAUUUUUGCCUGCUUCCACAUACAUCGAGUUCCAAAAUCAUCCUCAACGAAAAAUUAAACUUGUAUCUGAGCCAUACCCUUGAUAAUAUUCUGUCAAGCUUGCACACAAUUUAUCUUCUUGCUAAUUUAAUCAUUUUGUUGUGAUGAGUGCACGUAAUGCAAACUUGAUACUGAUGGUCCAUCCAGGAUUUCUUUUGCAUCCAGACAAGAUAUUCCCAAUUUCACUGCGGUCAGCUGAUAAUUCCAUUCUGUUUAGCUGAAUUUCCAAAUAUAUGCAUUUCUUGCUGACUCUUCUUGUCUGGUGUCGGCUGACGAGCAACUUUAAUAGGGGGAAAUUUGUAACACCGAAGGCCCAAAGAAAGGAACAACAGAAACGACUAAAACAAAAGCACACAAGCAUACUACUAAUAUAAUUAAUCAAGAAAUCAUCACAUAUUACUGCUACUCACACAAUAAUAUGCAUGCACACCUAAUCACACAAAUCUCACGGAAACUCCGGUAUUAAGGUCUAGCAUGUUGUGAUGAUGUGCAUGAGGACGAAUAAAUGUGUGGAAGAAUUGGUGUAAACACACUACACCACGCACUAGACUUCCCUAUCGGUGUGUGUUGGGAAAACUCAUUUAUACUGACACACAGUCGGUCGGAAAAACUUGUAUCAGUCAGUAGGUCGGGAAUACACACUUGUAGCGUCUAGCAGUCUGUCGGGAAUGCUGGUAUAUUUCACGUCUGAUGGUCGGUCGGGAAUAGAAAGACUUCCAUCGAACUAGCAGUCGGCAAUUUUUCCCGACCAACUGUUGGUGGCUAAUUGGGCCGAUCAGUCGCGCACGCGGGAACGUGAAACAGUUGGCGCCGAAAUGAGCGCUCCCCAUGAAAAACCCUAUCUCCCCUUUUCCCCUUCACCCCCCAAAUCCCUCAGAUCUGGCACACAGUUUCUGCAUCCGCCGCCGCCCCCGCUCGAGUUCUCCCUCCGCCGCACAUGCUGCUCCCCACGCCGGCCAUGUGCUCUCCAGCCGGCAGGGCCGUCGCAUCCUCUCUCCCUCCCGUCCGCCGCUGACCCCACUCCACACUGCCGCUGGUGGUACCCCGUACACCAUACUGCCGCCGCCUCCACCGGUAGGUGCUUUCUCUGUCCUCCCCCCCUCCUCCGUCUACAGGUGCUCUCUCCUCCUGUCCGUGCGCCCUUCCCUUCACCGUCGCUCACUGUGCUGCCCUACACGCACAGGUGGUCUUGCUGUCGCCGUCCAAACCCUGCCGGGAGCUUCCCUUUUCGUCCGCGCCCAAGCUCACCAUCUCCUGGAGGUGCUGCCGGCCAAGAAGGUAUGCUCCAAGAUGCCUCUUCCAGAUCCAACUACGACAGUGGGUUGGUUUUAGUCCUUCUAAUGCAAGGUCUUUAUCCACCUCGUGUGUUAUCUAUUUCCCAGCAAUACAACGAUUUCUCUUCGGAAGAAUUGUUUUUCCCCUCCACAUGUUCCUGCUUAUGUUAUGUGUGGAUUUUGAAAUCUAAUUUACACGUACUAUGUGCUUUGAGAAGAAAACAAUGUAGUUUUUUUGCAUGAGCACACCUUCUGCAUAGUGGUCAAUUUGGUUGACCUUCGUUAUCAAAAGAAAUUUGCUUAGUGUAUUGUCAUCAUAAGUAACUAGCAUACUGCUUAAAUUUGGAACAUAGAACUUAGCUAUAAAUCUUAACUAUGAUGAUACUUUGUGGAGAAUGGCACAUUUAGAUUGAUUUUAAUGAUAUAUUUAUUGCUCUGAACCUUGGGUUAUCACCAUAGUUUAGACUCUUGAGUGUUGUUCUGGCUUUGAAAAGUGGGAUCCGAGAGAAUAUAUGAAAAUGCUAAUGAUGUCCUGUGACAAGUUGAGAUCAUGCACAAGAACAAUAAUUAUCUGUGUAGCAGUAAUACAUUAUAAGGCAAACCAAAACUUGAGAUUCUGGUUCAGUUUCAGCUCUUGCCUCCGCCCAUAAAUUAAGAUACCAAUUUAGCGUGGCACCUUUAGUUCCUAGUUGUCAUGAUAACAAUACUGUACCUGACUUGCAUAAUCUCUUGCUAUUCCUUGAUGAGCAGCAACUUAUUUUGAACUUGUAUAUUUUAGAAUUUGCCUUUUCCUGUUAUUUUGUGUGUGGACAAUGUAUGACACCACAUGUAUAACAUUGUUGGUGAACAUUUAAAGCAGUGCCUGGCAAAAGAAGGGGGCCAAACCUACUAACCUGCGGGAUCCGAACGACAUGUGGAUUUCCAAAAGGUUUUUUCUUAUACUGUUAGACACUAUUUGAUAAUGAUAUAAUGAAUUCUUGCUAGACUUAAUUGUUUCCUAUGAAGUUCAAUUCCUGGAACACCUAUUUUGUUUCCUAUGAUCCACAUGCGAGGCAUAGAAAGGGUUUGAUUUUGAUUUUAGUUUCAGUUUCAGAGUUCUAUUCACAUUUUGAAUUUUCUAGUUUUUUUUGUGUGUGGACAGUGUGUGAGGCAUUUAAAUUCACUAUUAAUCAUGUGUGCAGGUGCAACUAGCAUGGACAAAUAUUGGAUGGAUACACCUAGGUACAACACCCCAUAUGUUAAACAUCUUAGAUUAGAUGUUAGUACUUGCUGAAAUCUGAUGCAACGCGCUGCAUAUGUACACUUGCAUGUAGGCAUACGGAGAAGUACUACAAGGGCUUGCCAGAUUCUUACAAUGCAUUUAGUAAAUGUUCAGUUGAGAAUCAGGGAUUCAAUAUUCUAUAUUAUUCUUCUAAGGGUUUUUAGCAUACAAAAGUAUGCAUGGUUGUGCAGACUUUUAGCUUUAUUUUUAACAAGCUAUAGUUAAGUAAAGCAUCUGCUGUUAACGACCUGAUAUUUUUUAGUUGUACAAGUUGUUGCCAUCAAGUUGAAUGACAAAGUGAAACAUAACCUUUAACUUUGUCGUUUGUUUUGAUGUCCUAGUGCAGUGAUACAGCAAACAAUGUAGAAUGCCCUCACUUACUACUGACUAGCAUAUGGAACUAUGUGCUAGUCCAAUAAACACAUCUCCAGUUUCCUAUUAUUUCUUUGUUACAUAGGAAAUACAUGCAGCACUUCGUAAAUGGUUCCUUGUCCCUGUUUUUUUAUUGUGCACAGAGCUUGUAACUUUUCGGUGGGCCACUAUUAGAGGCCUGACCUAUAGAAAUUCACCGUGGUAAAUACCGCCAACCUCGCAGCCUGCUCCUCAUGUAGAUGUAAUUGUGUUGUCUUCAUACUUCACAGGUUUUAUGCUAGCCGUGGAAUAUUUUUCGCCACGUACGUUAUUCACCUAGGUAACUCCGCUGCUCUGUUACCACGAGCAGCUCCAUGCCUCAGUGAGGCCGGUCCCUAUUUUUUAGGACUAGGUGUGCUACUAUUCCUAUUUCCUACUGAUUUGUCCACUUUCUCUCUGUCCUACUACUCUCUUUUCAUUAAUCCCCCGAAUCUCUAAUCUUUGUUUGUGCAGAUUCUCUCUUACCUAUGAAUACAAGGUCGAUGAAAAUCCAAGCAAGUUGCAAGGAAGAUUGAUCUAUGUAAUAAUGCAAUAUGCAAGUUCUGUUGUCUCUGCUUAAUAACUUCUUUUUGUGAAAUUUAGUUGCAUUGAAUGAUUAAUUCCUCUCAUGCCAAUGUGGCAAUGUCUCUCGUCUGAAUUCUCAAUUGUCUUUGCCAGUUACAUAGUGGCUUACAUGCCACCUGGAUACUGGAGUAGCAUAGUAUCUGGGAAUAUGAUUUUAUUCUUUAGUCAUUUGUAUGCCACAUCUGGUAUCGUUGGUCCUUUCUGAAGGCCAAUAUGAAAGGGCAACUUAUAUAUGUCAAAUCGCAUGGGUAUUUUAGUUGGUACUUUCAGGUUUUGAUAUUACUCUAUCACUAGAAUUUCCUUUCGAACAUUGCAAUUAGCUUUUAUCAAAGCAUGGUAAGUAUUGAGAAAUUUGUUCAUCAUACCUCCCAGGUAAACUGGAAGUAUUGUAGUAGUAGUCAAGCAGGAACCAAUUCCAAUUGUAUCCUGGGGAUUUUCUACCUUAUUCUAGCUCCAGUGAAUAAUGUUUGCUGUGGCAGAUAAAGAAUAAUGUUUGCACUUACCUCACCCUGUCCUAAAUUGGUUUGCUUACAAAUGUUGCACAUGUCUUAUGUUUCCAUAGUUAGUUUAUUAUUGGAAAUUGGUGAUGAUCAGGUAAGGAAAGAAAUCUUCAAGUCUCAGGUUUUUCUAUAACCAUUCCCCCAUGGUGGUAAGCUCUCCCAGCAAAUCAUGAUGUGACUCGGAUCAGGUGUGCAUUUUUUCCUUUUUGUACUGUAAAAAAACUUUCCACUAAGCACACUAAAGUGUAGCACUCAAUAAACAAACUUCAUGAUAUUCUAUUCGAAUAAAGUAAUCUAUGAUGUUCUUGAAGUUUUGUCACGAGUGCCUUAUAUAAGUGCACCAUGGCCAUAAGUACGAGUAGCAUGCAUAUGUGCAUUGAGUAAUCCAACGUGAGGAAUAAGAGAGAUAAAAGCGGGUCCACAAUGAAAAGCGGUGUGGCAAGGCUUGCAUCUACUUCUAGUGGUUACCUAUACUUGAAUGGAGUGCCUUCUUGAGUAGGUGUUUUGGUACUAGCUUGCCUUGUGAAGUAAUAGCUGUUGUCAAUGCUAUGCUUUAUCCCAGUUUUUAUGGUACAUUGUAUUUAUGAAUGUAAGAAUGUAAUGGCAACUUCUUUACAUUUUGCAGGGAAGAAAUGCAAGCGGAGGAGGAACCAUGAAGCCGGCGGUUCAGGAUAUUUUGUGUAGUGGUGAUUGAAUCAUUGGUGAUGAAUUUUAUCUAUCAUUUUGUAAACCCACAUUAUGUUUGAGGCAAUGAACCUUAAUGUUUCCUCUAGUUAAUUAGCUAUAUUAGCUUAUGGGAAAUUUUGGAAGUCAUUAUGUUGAUAACAGAUGAAGUAUUUACAUGUGAAAUUAAUUAAUAUGUGUUUCUAUUGUCUGGUUAUGGUUUAUUAUUGCUGGAGGACAUGCACAUUAUUGUUAUGAAAUGUCUUGAUUGAUAUUUUCUUGGUAGUGCAAAUGUAAGCUAUGGUAGGGCUACUGGAUGUUGGUUGGAAAAAAACCAUGUCUGAAAGUCGUUUGGGGAAGCUAAUGCCAGGGCCAACGAAAAGUUGGACAGGAAAACAAACCCCAUCAGAUAGUCGGUCGGGAAAAGCACAUGGCAUGCCCUAUAGACUGUUGGUCGGGAAUACAACCCCAUCAGAUAGUCGGUCGGAAAGGCCCAUGGUAGGCCCAACAGACCGUCGGUCGGGAAAGGCCCAUGGUAGGCCCAACAGACUGUCGGUCGGGAAAGUUACGCCAUAGGUGACAAACAGUCGGUCGGGAAAGAUAUGUCGGUCGGGAAAGGCUUUUCCCGUCUAGACUUUCCCCAACAGACACAGUCGGUCGGCAAUAGUCUUUCCCGACCGACUAUCUAUUGGUGGAAGCUGUUUUCCCGUCCGACCUAGCUGUCAGGGAUGUAGUGUUGUGGUGUAGUGACAGCGCUACACCAAGUGCUACCUUAGCCAGAUAGCAACCUGGACUAGCUUGGAGGUGAGGACGUACUCGGUAAUCAUGUAGUAGGACAUGAAGGUCGCAGCCACAUUAUUAUCAAGCAGACGGAAAAAGAUCCGUACUCGUCCAAGAAAUAGGAUAGCGGGAAAAACUGAGACUGCUGACAUUGCCCUUUCUUGAUAACUAAGAUCAUUAAGGGUUGCCAACACGACGAAAUAAAAGAACGAUCCGGGAUAGACGCAUGUCCAUCACCGAAACGACAAACGAGACUGAAAGAAAGACAUCGGUGUGAUACCUGAGCACCAUUUUUGCAAACAGUGUCGGGAUCACUUGGCAUCACUCUGCUGGGACAGAAUUGACACCAAACACCGAAAGAAAAGGAACUGGAGAAAUGCAAAGGUUGAGCUGUAGUGGAUCCGAACCGAUGUCAGCUACACUCACUAGAUAAAUCGUUAGUAACAAAUAAUAAUCUAUAUGCAUGCUAUGCGACAAACAAAUGCAGCAAUCAAGUGCAACAAACCAAUUGGGGUCUAUACUACCGCUUUCUAACGUUCGCGCGGUCUAGGGCGUUCUGCAGCCAGACCAGCUCUGAUACCAAGCACUAUGGCACCCCGGCUUAGAGAUACCGGAACGCCCCGUAUUCUAGCCCAAAGAUCGAGGAGAAGUCUUCUGGAAUACGACACUACUUAGCAUAGAACAAACCAGCUUUCUAUUAUUACACGGAUAUGAAUACGAGGUCUCCGAUAUUACAAUGAAUAACGUCGAUACGGCGACACUACGCCAUCCUCAGUUGCUCUAUGCAAGUAGCAGAACAACUCGAAGCAACGGAAGAACUCUAGCAGCUAGCGGAACAACGACGACGGUGGUGAACUCCACGCCAUAGCGACUCUGGCUGGAAUGAUUAUCCUAGCUCGCACGCACGGAAACCACGACAGAAAGCAAUCAAAUUCGGCAUGACCUGCAAGCUGGCAUGACACGCGAGGUCAGUACAUUGAAUGUACUUGCAAGCUCACAAUAAUCUAGAAGCAUUCAAGACAGACAACAACAUGGCAAUUACAGGUUAAAUAGGAAUUAUCAUGAGAUCAUCAGAAUAGCAUGUCAUCAUCAACAUAAACAUGAUACAGCUAUCACAACAUGAACAUAUUAAUCUGACAAUACUAACAUGCAACAUGAUGACACUAUAUGCACCAAUUAUUCUGUUCGGCUACCUCGUAACCAACUCAUGCAUCACUUACCAACCUCGGACAUCACACGAUCAAGUCAAGAUCAAAUCAAGCUUGGUAUAAACAAUACUGUAGUAAUCAGUAAAUGACCACAAGGAGCUUGACCUUUACCCACGAUUCUCGUACAACAUCACGAAUAUACAACAACUCGGUAUCCUCGAUACCAUUUUUAUCCUUACGGCGAUCACAACCCGACCAACACUUGGUCCCAUACCAUGGUCCUUCAGGCGAUCACAACCCGACCUCUAAAUGGCCCGUGAUCCUUACGAUGAUCACAACCAACUUAUCUCACUAUUAUUAAGCACAUUAUUCUUAUUACUGUUGACUCAUGGUGUGACCUAUUUUCAACCUGGGCCCUUAUCCGCGGGCACGGCUAUCGAUAGAUUUAAUAUACACUCUGCAGAGGUUAGUACACUAUACCCACACUACGGAACCCAUGGCCUCGCAAUCCCAUUCGGGUGGACCAACGGCAUUCCCACAAAACCGUCCCCAUCGGGCUAGUCCUGGGUAGCCCCGUGUCUACCUCCAGACACAAUGACCACCGUCGUGGCCCAUCCCACUCUAGGACAAGGAUCCAAAAACUAACUCAACAACGGGCACACAAGGCUUAUGUCCGCCUACCUUAUCGGGGUAGUGUGCACCCAUAACGUUCCCUCGUUGGAGGCACCGGAGAGAGGCACAACAAUAGACCCAGUUAGAACCGUCCCAUACCGGUAAGCGUGGUUGCACUGGUCAGCAUCGAUUCAGCGGCACCAUGACUCAGCCAACAGUUGUUCAAGUUCAAUUUAAUCCGGUUAACUUGAAUGAAAAUAUGCUGAGUCAUGAUAAAAUGCAUGAACAUGAUAUCAACAUCAUCAUGAGUGUAUCACAUAACUUUCCACCAUAUCAACAAUAAAUCAUAUCCACUGAGCAUGGCAUACUGACUAGCAUGACCAUCACCAACAUCAACAUGUACUACUAGCAAUCAUAAACAUAUGAAAGGUAAUACUAGCAGGUAGAAUAUGUUAAUAGAGUACAAGACGGCAUAGCACAAAGGUGAACAUGCAACUCUAAACAUCACUGAAACAACGAUAACCAUCUAGUCAACAAGCAAAUAUUUAACAAAGAUUCAAGUUGAAAACCAUGUCUACUGCAUGACUAUCAUGCAAGUGGAUAUUGUGGCUUGCCUGGGGAUGAAGAAGGCACCGGGGAGAAGUGCGGUGAAGCCGCGGAACAAAUUGCCAGAAAACAUUCUCUCUCGGAGGGGGCUGAUUAAGGACAGGGGGAAAAUGGUCAUUUUUAGUAUGCCAAAACAUAAUGAAAGUGACACCAAUAGAAAGGGCUCGACGAAAUGAAGAAGUGAGCGUUGGAUUCACCUCGUUUGGAGUUACGGAUAAAAAGAUAUAAGGGUUUUACCAUCAGGGACCUAUCUGUAAACAUUUAUUUUACAGACUCGGCCAAAACAGAAAAACGGAAAGCGCAUUCCAGGAUUUACGCUUCCACUUAUCCGCGUCGCAGUGGCGGGGCCGGCUCCUGUGUGGCUGACAGGUGGGUCCCACCUUAUCCACUCCCUCUCUCUCCUCCCUUCUCUUCUUCCUCUCUCCUUCUCCCGACGCCGCAUGCUCCGGCCACUCGGGCCACCUUCGGCGGAGCUUGGAUCGCCGGAGUGCUCAGGACGGUGAGGCGCACCCGUCCCACCACCACACGAACAUCAAGGAGACUCGGGCAGGGCGGGACCGUGGCCACGGCGGACGGGGCUUCAGCCGACGAUAGAGGACGAGGCCAUGGCGAUUCCGGUGACUAACAGAAGGCUGCGGGAGAGGCUAUGGUGGCUGGGUGACCUACUAGAUGUGGAAGACAGAGGAGAGGGGCUUCGGUUCACCGGAAUCAGAGUGGACAGGGGCGGCGGCCAUGGCGGCAAGGGCGGGCUCGGGAGCUCUUGGAGCUCGAACGAGUGGACGGGGAGGUUGCUGGGAGUGAGGCGAGUCUCGGGGUGAGCUCGGACGAGGCCGGGGAUGGCUUAAAUAGCCGUGGGGCAAGGUGGCCGAGCUGGCACCGCCGCGGAUGCGUGGCUGGCGCCACGGACGUAUGCCCGCACGCAUGAACUCGGGGGCAAACGAUGGAGGAGGAGAAGUGGUGGCUCUCACGGGGCAGAGGAGGCCAAGGGGGCGCAGGGAGGAAGACAAUGGUGACGGGAAGAUCCAAAACCCCACUGUGCUCUCGUGUUCACACGGCGGCGAGCAUCGGUGAGCAAGCGGACGGAGGGGGAGUGGGGUCCAGGGGAACGGCGACGAGGAGAGGAAGACAAUGGACAAGCUCACGAGCGCGAAAACAGUGAGAGGGGGAGGGGCCCAAGCAAGAAGACGCUAAGGGCGCGGCCAUUGCACGCCAAAACGGUGGUCACCGCGUGCACUGGUGCACACCGUGCCACAAGUGAUGCCAAACCAUGUCUGGGGGUUAGUCCCUCAUGGGUAAGUUGUAACUACGGUGGUAACUAAGUGAAAACGUCUCUGGUUAAAUAGUUAGUGAGCUCUGAAGUUUACUGCAGUAAAAUUUACCAGCUCAAUGUGAUCAAUAGGGAGUUACUUGAAGCCAAAGAAGUUGUCUGGGGUGUAUAGCUAUGGAGGUACUAUGAUACUGGUGAUUUUGAGGGGAAAUGGAACAAGAUAAAUGAUAGUUGCUUUGCAACUGCCAAAAUGGUCCAGAAAUGAAGAUUAGGAUGGUGCACUCACAUGGAGUGUCCACAUGAGCUCACAUUGGGCAAGGCUUAGUCAUUUGGUCAUAUGAAGAUGCUCACAAAGUAUCAUACCAUUUGGCAAAGCCAAAAUGGUACUUGGUUCACAAACAUCUCUGCUGACCAGAAACUUGAAAUAAUUAUAGUGAUCAAAUGGAUCAAUGAAAUGAUGCCAAAUUGGGUGGAUAGAUGUUUUAUGGGUAUAAGAAUGAUCUGGUAAUUUAUCAGGAUUUUUGAAGCAAUAUAAAAUACACUUGCUUCACAACCUGAAAAUAUUGCCAGAAACAAAGAUUUGCUCCUGUUCUCACAUAGAUAAUUGUAUGGGGCUGCAAAUGGGUGGAAGGGUCUAAUAUGAGCACUCUAAAGAGUCUGCAAAAUUUUAACUCAUUUGGGGACUCCUUGCUAGUACUUCCUUCACAAAGCCUUCUGUUUGACAGAAACUUUGAAAAAUCACUGAGGAAGAUUGUCUAGGCAAAUAAAUUUGAACUUGUGCAUGGGGAAAUUAUUUGUACAUAUAAACAUGCCCAAAAAGGUUGGGAUUCAAUAGGAGAAAUAUAAAUCUCACUUCCUUCACAAACUGCCAUCCAGGACAUAAUAGAAAAAGGAAUAUUGGGGAAAUAUUUUUGAACAUGGCAAUGAAAAGUUUUGCCAUAUUUGAGCAAGAAAUGACCCAAACAAUUUAUGAGAAUUAUUUGGGAGUUUUUGGAGUGAUGGAAAUAUAGGUUGCUUCACAACCUAGGGCAAUUUGAGUUAUUCCUUUAAUUGAAAAGGAAUAUUCCCAAUAAAAAGAAUAUUAGGAUUUGGGCUAGGAUGGAAAUGACAGGUUCUAGGGAAAUAUUUGGGAAUGACAAGCCACUCUGCAAGCAAAGAAGAGGUCAUGUUCUUCAGUUUCCAGACCACAAAGCCACGGAAAAAGAAAACUCACGCAAAAACCUCGAAAAAACAAAAGAAAUUUGGAGUUACUAAAAUUUUAUUUGGAGUUACUAAAAUUUUAGAAAUUUUCAGAAAAAGAUGAAGAGAUUGUUCUUGAGGGGCUCUUCUAGCCAAGGCUCUAAGGAUAAACAAGCUAAGGAGAAAGAAAAGGCCAAGUAUAAUCUUCCUCGUGUGGCAGAAGUACGGCCGUGUGAAUGGCCUUGUGAUGAUUUCUUGAGAGCAGUGGGGAUUUAUGAUGACUUUUAUUCCUUGGCUGAUAAUGCUAGCCUCACCGACUUCCUCCAUGACCAAAUCGAACAGUAACUCUUACUCACUAAUACUUUCGUGCAAAACUUCUACUAUUAUCCUAAGAAAUCACCUCCUUCGGUAGAGUUUCAUUUAUAUGGUGUGGCUAGGGAGAUGACACUAUAUGAAUUUUGCACGGUUUGCAAGAUACCCCUCGGGGGCAGCUUAGAGGAACCACAUCGUAAAGAUGUGGAUGGAUUUAUCGAUACUAUUAUCUUAGUGGAAACGAGGAAGGUUUCCGAUGCCAGAAUUACUAGCAUACAUUGCAAUAUUUGCUAGUCGAUGCUUAAUUGGUCGCGGAAACUGUGGAAACCUUAGUGUUCCUGAUCUUAGUGUUCUCAAGAGUGCUGUAUUAGGUGAUAAACAAUACAACUUGGGGGCAAUUGUUGCACGUAGGUUGGUUUAGUUGGACACUUGUUUGGAGGGAUUUAUGCAACCCGUGUGGCUAAUUAUCUUGGUAUACCUGCACAUGAAAAUGAUAGGGAGUUGGCUCCCUCUUAUUUAGAUUAUAAUGCCAUGGUUAAUCGUCAUUUUCUUGAGAGGAAUGAACAAUUCCUCCAGUAUCGACUAAUCUUUGACAGAUGUCGCGCUGUCCAUAUUAGUCUCCCUGCUCUUGCCCUUUUUGAUUAUCAGGCAAAAGGAAGAUAUGUUAUCACCAAGGAGGAGGCAAACGAGUACGAGAGGAGGACAGAGGUAGCUCGCCGCCAUGCUGCAGCUCAGGAGGCAAUCGCUGCUGCAUCUCAGUACGACCCUAGUUACAACUUCGGAUAUCAGCCAGGCUACCCAUGGCCAUAGACCAACUUAGGCCAAAAGCCUAAGCUUGGGGAGUACGUAUGUCGGUGCUCAUACUUUUUCAUGAUACUAUCCUUGCUAGUUUAAUUUCUCUUCUAGCUUUCUUCUUGUGUGUUUGAUAAACUUUAAGAAAAACCAAAAAAAUAGCUAGUUUAAUUUCCAUGCUAGUAGUAGUAAUUAAAAGAAAACCGAAAAAUAUUUCUCGUUCUUCUUUUGCUUGUUGGGAGCUUUCCCGUGUAAAUAGUUUUAUUUCUUUUUCUUUCCUUUUGGGGUCGAGAGGAGAAGACCAUGAUGAAAAUGCUUAGUGGCUCUAAUAUGCAUGAUUGUUGAUUUAACCAAGAGCCCAUAUUACCUUGUCUUCUCCCUUGAAUUGAAUGCUUGCAGAUUCCAGCUUAGUCCACUACACGUGCACUAUUAUUAUUAUUAUUCACAUCGUUCGGUCGUGCAAGUGAAAGGCAAUAAUGACGAUAUAUGAUGGAUUGAUUGAGAUGAGAGAAGCUGGUAUGACCUCGGCCUAUCUUGUUUUUGUAAAUACGAUUAGUUCAUCAUUCCUGAUUCAGCCUAUUAUGAAUAAACAUGUUUGCAAUGACAAUUAGAGAUUAUAGUUUCUUAUGUCAUGCUUAAUUAGCUAGGAGUUUAUAAUGGUUUAUCUUGCGUGCCAACAUGCUAUUAAAAUGGUUGUGAUGUGGUAUGAUAGGGUGGUAUCCUCCUUUGAAUGAUUCGAGUGACUUGACUUGGCACAUGUUCACGCAUGUGGUUGAAACAGAAUCAACAUAUCCUUCAUGAUAUUUGUGUUCAUGGUGGAUUAUAUCCUACUCAUGCUUGCACUCGGUGUUGAUUAAUUUUAAUGCAUGUUCAUGACUGUUGUCGCUCUCUCAGUUGUUCGCUUCCCAGUCUCUUGCUAGCCUUCACCUGUACUAAGCGGGAAUACUGUUUGUGCAUCCAAACUCCAUAAACCCCAAAGUUAUUCCAUAUGAGUCCACCAUACCUUCCUAUAUGCGGUAUCUACCUGCCGUUCCAAGUAAAUUUGUAUGUGCCAAACUCCAAACCUUCAAAUGAAAUUAUGUUUUGUAUGCUCGAAUAGCUCAUGUAUCAACUAGGGUUGUAUGUAUCUUCCAUGUUAGGCGGCUUAUUCUCAAGAGGAGUGGAAUCCUCUCCUCAUUCACGAGAAAAUGGCUGGUCACCGGGAUACCUAGUCCCAUGCUCAAAUCAAAUCAAAAUAAUUAAACAAAACUCCCCCACGAUUGUUGCUAGUUGGAGGCACACGUUCUUUCGGGCAAGCCAUGGAUUGAUGCUUGUUGGUGGUGGGGGAGUAUAAAAUUUACCAUUCUGUUUGGGAACCGCCUAUAAUGUGUGUAGCACGGAAGAUAUCGAGAUCUCAUAGUUGUUACAUUGACAGUGAAAGUAUACCGCUCAAAAUGCUAUUCAUCUCUAUUUCAAAAUCGAGCUCUGGCACCUCUACAAAUCCCUGCUUCCCUCUACGAAGGGCCUAUCUAUUUACUUUUAUGUUGAGUCAUCACCCUCUUAUUAAAAAGCACCUGCUGGAGAGCACCGCUGUCAUUUGCAUGCAUUACUAUUUGUUUAUAUUGGGUAUGACUAUGACUGGGUCUCUUUUACCAUGAAUUGGAAUGUUUAGUCAGUCCUUAAUCUUUAAAGGUGAUCUGCAUUUAUGUUUUGCGGUCUCAGAAAGGGCUAGCGAGAUACCAUCUUGUUAUAUCAUAUUAUGAUUGUUUUGAGAAAGUGUUGUCAUCCGAGAUUUAUUAUUAUUGCUCGCUAGUUGAUUAUGCCAUUGAUAUGAGUAAACAUGAGACCUAAGUGUUAUAGUGAAUAUGGUUAGCUCAUAAUCUUUGCUGAAAACUUGAAUGCAGACUUUACAUAUUUACAACAACAAGAGCAAACAGAGUUUGUAAAAGUUUUUCUUUAUCACUUUCAAUUUAUCAACUGAAUUUCUUGAGGACAAGCAAAGGUUUAAGCUUGGGGGAGUUGAUAUGUCUCCAUCGUAUCUACUUUUCCAAACACUUUUGCCCUUGUUUUGGACUCUGACUUGCAUGAUUUGAAUGGAACUAACCCGGACUGACGCUGUUUUCAGCAGAACUGCCAUGGUGUUAUUUUUGUGCAGAAAUAAAAGUUCUCGGAAUGACAUGAAAAUCCACGGAGCAACUUUUCAGAAUUAAUAAAAAAUACUGGCGAAAGAAACAGCAUCAGGAGGCCCACACGCUGUCCAUGAGGGUGGGGACGCGCCCCCUCCCCUAGGGUGCGGCCCCUGCCUCAUGGGCCCCCUAGACGUCCACCGACCUCGACUCCAACUCCAUAUAUUUGCUUUCGCGGAGAAAAAAAUCAGAGAGAAAGUUCCAUCGCGUUUUACGAUAUGGAGCCGCCGCCAAGCCCUCAUCUCUCUCGGGAGGGCUGAUCUGGAGUCCGUUCAGGGCUCCGAAGAGGGGGAUUCAUCGCCGUCGUCAUCAUCAACCAUCCUCCAUUACCAAUUUCAUGAUGCUCACCGUCGUGCAUGAGUAAUUCCAUCGUAGGCUUGUUGGACGGUGAUGGGUUGGAUGAGAUUUACCAUGUAAUCAAGUUAGUUUUGUUUGGGUUUGAUCCCUAGUAUCCAUUAUGUUCUGAGAUUGAUGUUGCUAUGACUGUGCUAUGCUUAAUGCUUGUCACUAGGUCCCGAGUGCCAUGGUUUCAGAUCUGAACCUAUUAUGUUUUCAUGAAUAGAUGUGAGUUCUUGAUCCUAUCUUGCAAUUCUAUUGUCACCUAUUAUGUGUUAUGAUCCGACAACCCCGAAGUGACAAUAAUCGGGAUACUUCUUGGUGAUGACCAUAGUUUGAGGAGUUCAUGUAUUCACUAUGUGUUAAUGCUUUGGUCCAGUACUGUAUUAAAAGGAGGCCUUAAUAUCCCUUAGUUUCCAUUAGGACCCCGCUACCACGGGAGGGUAGGACAAAAGAUGCCAGUUCUUUUCCAUAAGCACGUUUGACUAUAUUCGGAAUACAUGCCUACAUUACAUUGAUGAACUGGAGCUAGUUCUGUGUCACCCUAUGUUAUAACUAUUACAUGAGGAAUCGCAUCCGACAUAAUUAUCCAUCACUGAUUCAAUGCCUACGAGCUUUUCACACAUUGUGCUUUCUUACUUACUUUACCGUUGCCACUAUUACAAUUACUACAAAACUGCUACCGUUACUUUUGCUACCGUUACCGUUACUUCCAUACUACUUUACUACUAAAUACUUUGCUCCAGAUACUAAGUUAUCCAGGUGUGGUUGAAUUGAAAACUCAACUGCUAAUACUUCAGAAUAUUCUUUGGCUCCCCUUGUGUCGAAUCAAUAAAUUUGGGUCCAAAUACUCUACCCACGAAAACUGUUGUGAUCCCCUAUACUUCUGGGUUAUCAAGGUCCCAUAGGACCAGCGCACCAGAACAGCAACCGCCGCCGAUGAAGAGUAGCGUAAAUCGAAAGGAUCCAACCUGAAAACACACGAACGUAGACGAAUGACGAACAUAUCCAAGCAAAUCCACCAAGGACAGAUUUACCGGAGACACACAUCCACACGCCCACCGACAAUGCUAAAUGCACCAGCAGAACUAGGGCUAGGCGAGGAGAACCUUAUUCCAUCUUCAGGGAGCAACCACUGUCUCGUCUUCCUGAGUUGGACACAAACCCUAGCACAUCUCGAAGACACAUCUAAAAACCGAGCCUUCCCACAGGCAAAGGCCAGGAUCCGCCGCGCUCCCAUGACCCUAAGGCAACUGGAGAUGAGGCGGACCGGCGACGGCACCGGUAGGAGGCACAAGAAUCCUAGUUGGGGAGGAGGCCGCGGCCUGAGGAGUCAUGUAAUGUCCUUUAUAGGUUCACCGGUUGGCCCCUUCUAUUCUGCCGCUGCAGAUCUGACACGUCAGAACGAAUUGUUGCAAUCACCAGGCAGCAGCGAAUGCUAGCGAUUUCGGGAGCAGCUGAGCUCGAGCACAGAAUUGCAGCGUCCGGCGAGCGUAGUAGCCAGAGGAGAAACCGAGCGUGUGUAAAGCGCUAAACUACACUGCCCUAACAGAGCGUGCGUGUGAGCGCUCAUGCGCCAACCAACGCCAUAAGCAUGGUAGAGGAGCGCUCCUGCAAUUUGUUGCCUCAAAUUGGUGGGAAAACACAUAAGGACAGGCACUAGUCGGCCCAUUCAUUUCAUACUGUACAAACCCGGUAGCCAAGAUUUUUUCGGUGUUGUACACUUUUAAGCGCUUCUUUCAAUUAGGCGUUUUCUUUCUCGUAUUUUGAAAAACAUUAGAAAAACUUAUUUAUUGAAAAACUAAGUAUUGAGUUUUUACAAUAAUUUUACAAAAUGUGUACAUUUUUAAAACAUGAAUGUUUUUCAUAAUGCAGACCAUUUUUUCAAGUUUUGAACGUUUUUUCAAAAACACGAAUAUUUUUUGAAAACACUAAAAAAUUGUGAAAACAUUCAAAUGAAAUUAUCCAUUUUGAAUACUAUUCAUAUAUUUAAUAAACAUGAACAUUUUUGAACAUUUUGUGAAAAAACUGAAAAAGAACGAAGAAAACAAAAAAUAAAACCAGCAAAAGAAGAAAACCUCAAAAACCGGAAUCCUUAUUGCGUCAUAAUAAUGCAUGACUAUUUUUUAUGAAUAUGUCUUCGAAUCAAAAAUGUCUGUUAUAUAUGCAUUUGCCUAUACCUCACUUGUAGUGAGACAAAAGAACACAAAUCCUCAGGCCCCCUGUAUUGUGGCCUAGGGAUCCAUCAUUAUCCAGGAAGCCGGCUUGGUAGGCCGGCCUAGGGCCUUAUAGGCUGGUUUGUCUAGGGCCAUCAAUUUGGCCCAUGGAUCCAAUUAGAGAAAGGCCCGAGGGACUUGGAGCGGGUGACAGGGCGACUAGCGUCCAGGAGAACUCCUCCAACGACCAACUACGAUCGUGUAAUCCUAGACCCCAACACCCAUAUAUGUCGUGGCCAGAUUAGUCAAUAGACACAGAACCUUAGAACUAUUGCUCAAUCCAUCGAUUAUUGUAACCCCUAUACACAAGCAAUAUACACGAGCAGGGGUUAGGAUUUUACCUCAUCCAUGAGGGUCUGAACCUGGAUAAACCCCUUCUUAUUUCCCAUUUUGCUUAAUCGCAUGGCCAGAGUACCUUAUCAAGUGAUCUGCCGGAAAUAACUCCACCACGUCAUAAAUGGGCUAGGGCCAGAUAAUUUUUUUCUCCUUUUCUCUUAUUUUGUUUCUACUUUUGGUUCAAUUUAAAACAUCUUGUAAAUAUAUAUAUUUGGAAAGAUUCUUAAUCAAUUAUUAAUAACAUUCACUGUGCCUGAAAUAAUGGUCAUGAAAUGUAAUUAUUUUUUUGCACAAUUUGAUAAAUUGUUCAUAUCCUUCAAAAGAAUAUUCGUAUCAUUUUUAAAUGUUCGGAUGUUUAAAAAAUGAAUGAUUUUUUAACAAUGUUUAUUAAUAUAUAUAUAUAAAUUAACAGUGUAAUUUGUAAAAAAUAUUCAUACCAUUCAAAAAAUGUUUAACACUUUAAAAAUGUUCAAACAUUUUAAUUUUAAAUAUUUUUUAGUAAAUACUAUUGAAAUAGAAAAAAAUUAAAAGUUUAUAACAUAUAAAAAUGUUUGUAAAAUUUUCAAAUAUGUUCAUAAACACUUACAAAAUGUUUGGCACUUUUACGGAUAUGUUGAUGUCUUAAUUUUUUGAAAACUAUCAAUGAAAUUUACAAAAAUGUUCCUAACAGAAAUGCUAUUACAAAAAUUUAUGAAUAGAAAAUGUGUGUAAAAUUUACAGAAAUGUUCACAAUUUUUUGAAGGAGCUCGGGAUCCAAACAUCCACUCUCUACCAACUAUAUGCAUGUAUGUUGUAGCAAGCCAUGAGCCAAGGGUUGCUACAUGAUCAAUUGCUGAUAGUGCAGUGUGUUUUCUUCAUUUUGGGCAGAUCACAAGUGUUUGACAUCUCUCUCUGCAUUGGGUAUCCUUUUCCACUUGAAUUUUAAGAUACGCGGAAUGUGCUUUCCUUGUUGUUGCCUCGUCAUUCCAGCAUGGAAUCAAAGCAAAACUGAUAUUACUUCCCUUAAAAAUUGUCUCGCUAUCUAUCUCCAUAACAUGCCCAUUGGACUGCAUGGCGGAAGUGAAGGUGUGCGCCUAGCCGGCGGAGAAGACGAACUCAUCUGUGACCUCUGAUGAGCCCAUGGUGCAUGUGGGUUGGAACACUGCUUAGGAAAUCUAGACUUAUUUUGCAGGCAAGCCAAGAUGAGAUCUGUAGGCCCAUGUGAAUUCCAUCAAAAUCACGGUCAGUUCAACUCUGGUUCGAAUCCUAAUAAAAAUAGAUCAACGGUCCUAGAUGGUUAUGUCCAUUGCUAAAAAAUGCAAUUGUUGAAAGAGUCGAUAUGACUAGUAGCUAGAGGACGCUGACACCCCUCACUUCUUCUACACGUACUAAACAAACCCUAGCUUAUCCAACUCAAUUUGCUUUAAGGUUUGUGUGUGAAAGAAGUAGUCUUAAAACCAAACACCACACUCUUCAACUUGAGAAAUCAAUAGUCCAUUUACCUAUGGAUAUCAACUCUAUAUACAUCAUACUUGAUGUGUCAAGUUGAUAAUACUUACUAAACAUAUUUUAAAUUACAAUAUCUGGUGCUUCACAGUCGGUUAUGAAAUUAAUGUUCACCCAUCCAAUGCAAUAAAAAGUAUGUGAAUGAUGUUAACACACGCGCGCGCGUGUGUGUGUGAGAGAGAGAGAGAGAUUAGAGUACAUUUUGUCCUGAGAGAGAUUAGAGUACAUUUUGUCCUGAUGUCCACCAUAGUUCCACGAUCAAUACAUCUAGGAGGAGACAAUCAAAAUACCGACAGAAAAUAAAUAUUUAAUAUGUAAAUGGUAGGUGACAAAUCCAACCACAAAAUUGUGCAAACAACCCACUAGCUAGUUUUAUUGAAUAUUAAAAUGACAUAGUUGAUUUCUAAAACAUACAAAAUUUAUUAUCUCAUCAACACAUAAUUAUUUUGAGAACAAUAAGGUUGAGAUUUAUCCACCCAAAAUAGGGGAGAUAACAAAACUAUUGUGUUGUUGUUGCUGGUGUGCAAUUAAUCUUGCAGGGACAGUUGAUGAAGCAUUCUCCAAGAUCUGGCCAGCACAAGUUAUCUAUUUGACAGCAGAAUUCCCGUCCUGGGAGCUGGUGCCCAUCUUUAUAACAAGGGGGUCUGGUUACAUGGCUUACUUUGCUCAUCAUGUUUCCCCCCUUGUUGUUUAUGAUUUCACCUAAUUAACAUAAAAUAAAGAAUAUACUUGUCAUCUCAUCAUAUAAACAAUAAAAGUCCACAAUAUCAAUCCCCCCAAAAAAUUGAGUUGUUAAUUACCAUAUGUGCCUCCAAGACAAGUCAAACACACCACAAGAAGAAAAGAAAGUAGCACAAGUCCUUCCACAUUGUUCCUCAUGAACUUGGUCAUCGUCACUAAGGAAUAGAGGCUAUUAAUGGGUGGUACUCUUGUAAGCGGAGUUGAUGACUGUAUGACCGUGAAAUGCUUGCUCCAUGAAUGGUUCAUAUNNNNNNNNNNNNNNNNNNNNNNNNNNNNNNNNNNNNNNNNNNNNNNNNNNNNNNNNNNNNNNNNNNNNNNNNNNNNNNNNNNNNNNNNNNNNNNNNNNNNNNNNNNNNNNNNNNNNNNNNNNNNNNNNNNNNNNNNNNNNNNNNNNNNNNNNNNNNNNNNNNNNNNNNNNNNNNNNNNNNNNNNNNNNNNNNNNNNNNNNNNNNNNNNNNNNNNNNNNNNNNNNNNNNNNNNNNNNNNNNNNNNNNNNNNNNNNNNNNNNNNNNNNNNNNNNNNNNNNNNNNNNNNNNNNNNNNNNNNNNNNNNNNNNNNNNNNNNNNNNNNNNNNNNNNNNNNNNNNNNNNNNNNNNNNNNNNNNNNNNNNNNNNNNNNNNNNNNNNNNGAAGUUAUAGAAAAUAUUAAUGCUUGGAGUUAUGACUUGUCUGAAUUUCCAAUUUUAGUUUCACUUCUAAAGAUUCAUGGUUCCUUCUAAAGUUUUUUUUCUCAAAUUUAUGCUUUGUUAUAGCAUGUAAGUUAAUUUAAUGCCCCCUCUAGAAUUGACCACUUUUUGUUUCCAAGGGGUAGAAUUGACCUCUUAGAAUGGGUAGCAAAAAACGGGUGCAUGGUAAUAUUAUGUUUAAGGCAUUGAUAAUAAUUGGUAUAAUAUUAAUAAUUCCUAUAUAUAUGAUGCCUUAUCAAUAAAAUAUUAAUUUCUCUCUUGGUAUAAGAGAAAAAAAUUUAAAAUUCAACAAGACUCGUCACUUAACAUUGGACUUGUUUUUUAAUGUAUAUAAGAAAUUGUUCUUAACUAUAUCAACAAGUUACAGAUACAUUUUUUUUACUUUUAUUCCAUGAACAUAGAUUAAUUAUGGGAUGGCCAUUUUAUAAAUAUAAGAUGAUGAUUUAUUUUCAUAUACAUGAAAAUUUUAUAUCAAGGUACUUGAGCAUUUUUUACAUUUUUCUAUACACAAAAUCUUCUCCAAUAUUAAUUCGAUUUUGAUUUCUUUAAAUAGAUUAGUUUCCCCCAAACGUUCUUUAUUAGAAUAGUGAAAAUGUCGCACUUCACUACUGGAAUCUAGCACUUUGCCAUCUGCCAUGGCAAAUGGCAAAGGCAUGGUCGGUGGAUGGCAAAGGCUUUGCCAUCUGCCAGCAGAUGGCAAACAGUUUGUCUGAAACCCUGCCGGUAAAGGCUUCUUUGCCGUCUACUGGCUGAUGGCAAAGAGUCUGUGCCUUUGCCAUCAUCUGGCAGAUGGCAAAGCCUCUUAACGGGGUUAGCCCCGUUAGAAGGCUAACGACAUACUUUGUUGUCUGCCAGCAGAUGGCAAAGGUUGCAGGCUCUUUGCCGUCUGCCAGCAGAUGGCAAAGAGCUUUGCCAUCUGCUGGCAGAUGGCAAAGAGCCCAAAUUGGCCAGCCCAAAUUUUACAUGUAGAUGACACGUGGCCUCUUUGCCAUCUGACAGCUGAUGGCAAAGCUCUUUGCCAUCUGCCAGCAGAUGGCAAAGUGACUAUAUUGCCCCAUUUUAUUUUGUUUUUUCUUAUAUCAGUUCAUUUUCAUAGAAAAUCAAACACAAAUGUAUUUAUAUGACCAAUAUAGCAUAUUUAACACAUAUUACCAAUAGUCAUGAACACAUAUAUAUCCAACACAUGUUACCAAUAGUAGCAAGUUUCAUCCGUACAUAUACAUAGUUUCAUCAAUAUUACACAGUUUCAUCCACAGGUAGCAAGUUUCACAAGGUCAAAACAAACACUAAAUACAAGCACUCCAUCAACCCAAGCUUCCGUGAACUUAAGCAAAUCUGUAAAAUGGGAAAGAAGAAAGUUAGAAGAAGAAGACUAGAAGAAGAAGAUUAUUAUGAUGCGGAAAUAUGCAUGGAUUGUCAAAACUUGCAUUAUCCUACUAUCACUAGUACAACAAAGCUGCAGGUUUGCAUUAUCCUACUAUCAGAAAUCUGGAACUAAACUAACCUAAUUAAUCAUAACAAGGUGGCAUGCAUAGAAAUUUGGAACUAACUAAGAACUUCGAAUUAAAAGAGGAGAAGCAAAGGUUCAGGAAUUAGUUGCUCCCCUGCCGAUGCAUUGGUUGUCGAGGUUGAGGAGGUUGUGUGCAUGGCCACACCAUCGACCUGAGCUACAACCCAGCAUCCACCGCAGACCCGUCUUUGCGCUCGAAAGAGAUGACCACUUCAGACCCCUCCUAGCUCCCCUCCGAUGGUGGUCUCCUCCUUGUUCAUCCGCCUUGCUAUGGCUUCAGGGUGGUAGGCCAGGCCGUCCCUUGUCACUGGGCGUCGUCCUCCAUGGCCAGAUCUAGCCACUCCAUGGCGUCCGGGCAGGGGAGGAAGUGGCCAUCCUGUCCAUGGCGUCCCGGUGCUCGAGCGACGACGGAUCAGAGAGUUAGAGGGGACGUGGUAAAGAAGAUAAGGAAGGAGGGAUGUGGCAAGGGAAGAGAGGGGAUCUGACUCACCGGAGCAACGCUGGAGCCACACCAGCUACGCGGUAGCCCAAACCCUAGUGAAUCGGUGUUUUUCGAAUGUAACUCAUCCCUUGGCAGAAUAUUGCUGUCAUAUUCACAACGGAAGAGUUCAUGUCCAGCUGACAAUGCAGAUGAUGGAGAUGCUGAUAAGCAGAUCAAUAGUAUUUUGCAUUUUUUUACCUGGCUCGUAUCAAUUCAUGUUAAUUGCAUUCAGCUAGAAAGUAGAGUACAAUCCUGAUAAUUACAUUCAGCUACUGAAAUAAGGUAAGACAAUAUUCUGCCAAUCAUCACCCACUGGUAAACGAUGAUCUCAACAAGGUAAGACUGCAGACAAUGACCUCAAAGAGAUGUAUGUAACUAGCAACUGUGCACUCACCUGCCAUUCCAUGAAUAACCUGCAACUACUCUCACCCACAGAAUAGUUGAAAAUAUCUAAUGUUUACCAUUUAAACAAAAGACUUGGUUGGAGUGUCUUAAGAGAGCUCUUACGUAUAGGUAACAGUAUCUGUUGUGCAACUAGAUGAAUUUAACACGAAGAGUAAGUUAGAAUUUUCCAUAGAUACUAAAACAUGCUGAAAAUAGAAUGCUAGCAUUGCCAAGCUACUGAAUAGUCCAACUCUCCUAUGGCUGACAAAAACGGUAACAGACAUUUCAGAAACCAGAUGGAAUCCAACAAACAGAGGGAAAGCGGAGCAAGCUAUACUUGCGGCAUGGUAGAGAUGAAGAUCAGAGCAAGGGAAAAGAGCAGCUACUAGCAUCAGCCUGAAUUGUACGUGUACAACACAACAUCUUGUUACAAUACAGAGAUAGAUUAAGCGUAAUUUUCUUUCAACAACACACAAUCUGCGUGUCUUUAUAUUUUUUUGAAAGAUAGGGGAAAACAAAUGCAUACAGUAGAAAUUAAAAUCUCAUCUAAUAGCGUGUACUUCUGAACGAAAGAGAAGUUAGCUGGCCUCUUAAUGCUCUUCGUUGGCAGGAGGAUGACCACCUACGAUCAAGUGCGCUAUUGUGGCAUAUAUCUUCCUUCUUGCCAAAGAAGCAUGGUAGAAUUAUAAAGAGAGUAUGUUUCCAUAGACAUUUAAAAAAAGAGAUUUGUGUAUACUCAUUAUAGUGUAAGUACCAUAGAUUAUUCAGAUUAGAAGUUCUUGUCUCUACCAACAAUUUAUAUUUUCUAUACAUACUAAUAUCUAUAUCGCAUUGACAAUCAUGUAUUUAUAUGAGCUCUUUGUGGUGCGUGAUACAGCCAGAUUCCUUUUGUUAUUGCAGCAAUUUGUAAGUAUUUAAAUAUAUUUUAAUAGCUAGUUUCUUCUGUGUUAUAAAGACAAAAUAAGACAUGCAUAGACUUGCAAAUAUGUAUUAGAAAUCUGCUACUCCAAAGUAUCAUAUGAAUCAAUGUAAGUCACGAAUCGUGUGCAUAUCACGCAAAGCAGUUUUUUUGUAAGAACAAUACAUAAUACUAAUCGACGGUACAGAUGAUUCAACACAUAUGCAUCAAGACACCACUACCUUGCACAUGGUGAUAUAGGAUGGAGUUGAAUCUGAUCACCUCCUUUUUACAACUUAUAGUGUAAUGUGUACUGCUCAUAAAUAGGCAUAUAUAUAGUAAUUUUUCUUUUGAUCAAACGCUUGGUAUAUUAAUGAUCACAUUAUACAUUUAUGUAACAUUUCUUACUUGCGAAAUCUUUUACAAAUUGGAAUAUAGGAAUAUUAUUAAUACCCAGAAGAAAUACUACUAUUCGGAAAAUAUACUAACUGGUACUAUACUUAUUUUUUUCUAAUAUUGGUACUAUACUUAAUUGGACCAAAAGGUACACAUAUUUUGAUUAGUUCAAUUUUUUUUCUACAGAUUUAUCGGCGCCAUUAUUUCUCUAUGGUUGAAAUGUAUAUAAACUACUGUCUGUAUAUAUUGAUCUGCAUUUAGACAAAUAUCAUGGACAAACACACAUACUGUUUAGCACGUGUAGUUGUAAAGGUAGAACACUGAUUUCUAGUAUUAAGAAAAUAUAUUUAUAACAUCUCAUUACGAUGUAUAUGGAGUUAGCAUGAGAGAAAUAACCAAGUGUUGUGCAAGGAUCAUUCUGACUAUCCAGUGGCAGAAUAGAAAUAGGAUGCUAAGCCCAGGGAGAAUACUUAUGUCCUAUAAACCUGCAAAUACGAAGCAUGCAUUCACCAUAUAUUAGAAUUCCAAAUUUUAUAGUUUGUUUGCAUGUUGGUAAUAAGCUUUGCCCCUUGUGAUAUGGAUUAUCACAUAGAAUGGAAAGAGGAGAAAAAAUUAUGGCUUAGCAGAAUCAAGGAGGAAAAGCACUACAUGUGAAGUAUCAAAACGUUGUGAUAGCACGAACCCCACCAGAUUUGAACUCGUGCUCUUAGUAUGACAUGGAAAGAGGGGCUACUCUCCAAUUGAAGUGAAAAUAGUAGAACUUUGAGCAUAAAAAUUCUAAAAGCACAUUGCAACACGGUAUUAAGUCAAGAUUUUGCAACCGAGAGGGAAAGUCAAAUAAAUAAAUAAAUAAAUAAAUAAAUAAGGAUUCUAAUCAAACCUGUGAAUCCAAGCUAGUAUCUAACUAUUGUAUUGCCCAUAGUUUUGCAUACGCCAUGGAAAGUAUGAUACAUAGCAUGUUGAAAAAUUGUAACCAAUUAAAUAGAAGACAUUUAAUUUAAAGGCACAAUGCUAGGAGAUCAUCUCUCAGAGCAAUCAUCGCUGACAUAGACCUUCUGUUAAAUCACAUGUCUAAGCAGAACCCAGAGGUCUUUUACUUUUCCUUUAUAUGGAACCUUCAUUUUGACCUUUGGGGACUAUAGCCGCCUCAAUUAUGCAACUUUUUUUUCUAAAAUUUUAGUAUAGUGUAGUAGGAGCCUUUCCUGGUGUUCCAUANNNNNNNNNNNNNNNNNNNNNNNNNNNNNNNNNNNNNNNNNNNNNNNNNNNNNNNNNNNNNNNNNNNNNNNNNNNNNNNNNNNNNNNNNNNNNNNNNNNNNNNNNNNNNNNNNNNNNNNNNNNNNNNNNNNNNNNNNNNNNNNNNNNNNNNNNNNNNNNNNNNNNNNNNNNNNNNNNNNNNNNNNNNNNNNNNNNNNNNNNNNNNNNNNNNNNNNNNNNNNNNNNNNNNNNNNNNNNNNNNNNNNNNNNNNNNNNNNNNNNNNNNNNNNNNNNNNNNNNNNNNNNNNNNNNNNNNNNNNNNNNNNNNNNNNNNNNNNNNNNNNNNNNNNNNNNNNNNNNNNNNNNNNNNNNNNNNNNNNNNNNNNNNNNNNNNNNNNNNNNNNNNNNNNNNNNNNNNNNNNNNNNNNNNNNNNNAAACACAUACUAUAUUUAAAAGCAAAGAUGCACCUUAUGUGAGAAUCACGCAUGUGUUAUUUCUAAUCAAUGAGCCAAUAAAAUAAUAGCAUUGUAUCAUUAAAUAAAUUAUUUUUCAACUGAAUCAGACACGUGGGGUUUGACAAAAUUAAAAGUAUAUGCGAAGAUGUUAAGAAGAAAAUGUCAAUAUACAAAAUUUGUUUCUACAGGCAGAUGUGAUUUCCGUACAAAAAUAGUCUGUUUGCUUUACAAUAGAUCCACCUAAACCAAACUCCUGAGUUACUACAUGUAGAGCUCAAAAAUAUCAGAUAUAGAGUAUAAAAUGAGAAUGGAAUACUAAGUGCGUCUUACAGAAAUUAUAAGAUCUUUUAAUAGCUUUCUACAAUAUUACAUAGCAUACACGACAAUGAGGCAUGAAAUGAAUCAGUAUUGUAAAUAUGUAAAGAAGAAUAAGAAACACAAAGUAGCUGCUGCUCGAGCAACUACUACAUGCAAAUACAAUGCUUGAAAAUUUUCAAGCGUUCUCUAUGCUUUUUACCCAGAUUCAGCAUGGAUUAAAAAACCACAAUACUUAAUUCCAUGUAUCCUAAAUUCAAGCGUCAUGUUCGACUUGCCUGUGGACUUGUAGAACCAACAGCGCACUCGACAACAUCGGACAGAUAGAUCAAUCUGCAUACCGUUCGCUGUAGGUUCUUCAAUGGGAAGCAGCACGAUCCACUUUAGACCACCAUCAGUAGACCUCAUCCUACGCUCCAUCGCAUCGUUAUAUUGCAGUCAGCUCGGAACUUAUGCCAAGGAGAAUAGUUAGACCAUAGAUUUGAUAUUUGACCUCGCAUGAUAUUUGAUUUAAAGUUCAGUGAAAUAUCACGAGAAUGAAUUGCAUAUCCCAACUUUAAACUUAGAAACAUACAUGGAACUGUAAUAUUCAACAAACUUAGAAACAAAUUAAGUCGAGAAUAUAGUUUUUAUUUUGUAUUGCGGGUUACAACUACUAGAAAAGGCAGACUAUUAAUUGUUCUAAUAGUAAUAUCGUAAGCAUAUUCCAUAAUAUCUUUCUAUAUUUCUCAUUCUAUAUAUUAUUCUUUUAGAAAAUGCUAGCCCGUGCAGAUGCACGGGUUGAUGACUAGUCAAAGCUAAUUGAGGCAGAAAUGAUGUGUAAAAUUAUAUGUGUUGAUGUACUGGAUACCAAAGUGCAAAAAAAGCUAACCCUAAAUCAGAAAUCGGGUUGCUCUUGCUCACUUGCCCGCUUGCUGCCGUCGGGGACUGGUACUGGUGACUGAGAGGAAGGGCAGCGACUGCCGCCGGCUUUGCAGGGAGGCAGGGCAGGGGUGCCAGGAGGUCGGGGAAGGUGCGCAGCCAAGCCCGCGCAGAGCAGGGGCGCACGCAGGGAGCGCGUCCGCGCGGCUGGUUCCAGGAGUGCGGGAAGGAGGGGCGGGGCNNNNNNNNNNNNNNNNNNNNNNNNNNNNNNNNNNNNNNNNNNNNNNNNNNNNNNNNNNNNNNNNNNNNNNNNNNNNNNNNNNNNNNNNNNNNNNNNNNNNNNNNNNNNNNNNNNNNNNNNNNNNNNNNNNNNNNNNNNNNNNNNNNNNNNNNNNNNNNNNNNNNNNNNNNNNNNNNNNNNNNNNNNNNNNNNNNNNNNNNNNNNNNNNNNNNNNNNNNNNNNNNNNNNNNNNNNNNNNNNNNNNNNNNNNNNNNNNNNNNNNNNNNNNNNNNNNNNNNNNNNNNNNNNNNNNNNNNNNNNNNNNNNNNNNNNNNNNNNNNNNNNNNNNNNNNNNNNNNNNNNNNNNNNNNNNNNNNNNNNNNNNNNNNNNNNNNNNNNNNNNNNNNNNNGAGAGAGGGAGGGGAUAGAGGCCACAGUUUUUUUUACCUGGAAAAAAUAACCCCAUCUCUUUGCCAUCUGCCAGCAGAUGGCAAAGAAUCUUUGCCAUCUGCUGGCAGAUGGCAAAAAGGUGGGGUUGGUACGCCGUUACAUCCCUGGCAGACAUAGGAUUUGCCAACCUCUUUGCCAUCUGCUGGCCGAUGGCAAAGAAUUGGCUGAUGGCAACCAUGUUCUUUGCCGUCUGUCACUUCUUUGCCAUCUGUUUUUUAUAAGCAGAUGGCAAAGACGUUCUUUGCCAUCCGCUGGCAGAUGGCAAAAAGCUUGCCCGACUAGGGCAAAUUUCGUUAGGCGGAGCUUCCUAAUUCUCGGUACUCCCUAUACGUUCCUCCUUGCGGCUAACAACCUCCCCUUCGGACAGUCCGCGCCUGGCUGGGCUGGUCCAUUGACGACACGAAUGGACACCACUAAGUGGGAGAGUAGGAACAUAAGAAAAAUAGCCCAAGGAAAAAACAAAUAUGUAAAACUAAAAAAUAACCCAAAGAAAACGGUAACAGAAACAGAAGGAAAAAAAAGAACAAACGGAAAUACCAGUAAAAAUCAUAUCAGAACCUUUUGGAAGGCUCCCAAAAU